RNAcentral lists this long non-coding RNA (53966 nucleotides) under Eucalyptus grandis. RNAcentral describes it as "long non-coding RNA (EGRA_LNC001178)". Lineage: Eukaryota; Viridiplantae; Streptophyta; Magnoliopsida; Myrtales; Myrtaceae. The record is from RNAcentral.
CCGACUCUUGCAAUUAUGAGGGAUACAUGCACAAAAUGUGAGAAACUUUCCAGCCUAUAUCAAAUCUCUCCUUGCAAGGAACACUCAGCUAGUACAAGAAGAGUAGCUGGAAGUAAUAUUACACUGUGAGAGUCACAAACAGAAAUUGAAGGAAAACUAUAUAGAUGCAUGACAACAUUGAGAUGGUAUUGCAGGGGUUAAAGCUGCCAACUCCAUGUGAGCAUCUAGCAUUUCUGCAUCUGACAUAGCUAGUCUAUCUAACAUAAAUGACAUCCCCUCCAAUUCAAGUUCUUUAUCUUCGUGAACACUUUUGACUGGUGUACCAAAAAAGGCAGCAAGAUGGCAAUACAGGAGUAGGGUACACUUCCGGUUGGUCUAGAUGAUUGUCAGUUAUGUUUUGGAAUCUCCUAAGGCACCGAUCUUGUCUAGAAGUUUAUAGGAAUCUAUUGCACCUAUAGAUAAAAUCCCUUCAUUCAACUAAUAUCAGCUCAGGAUUCUUUACUUGCGACUAUGUCAUAUCCAAAUUUUCACUCCCAUUACCAUCAUUCACUCUUUAUUUUUGUGUAAAACACCAACUCCUUAGUUCAACGUGAUGUUCUCAUUCAGACUUUCAAGCACCUUACCCCUAUAUUCACCAACUCUCCAUCAAACGCAAUUUGAACGGGGUUGGCAAUUGAAGUGGUUUAUUUGAGGAAAAGGAUCGUAGCACAUUUAAGGAAAAGCAAAGGAGGAAUAAGGCCAAUGACUCAAAGGGUGCACACCAAGCCACUGUUGAAGAAACGAACACACUGAAUAAAAAAAAAAGAGAACUUUCUCGAGUCGAAGCAAUUACCAGGAGAGAUCGUCCACAGCCUCUGCCAAGUGAAGCGAUGAAGCACCCACCUUCGAGUCCUCCGUGACCAUCGCCAGCAAAUCCUUCUCCGGAUUCCACUCCACCUUCUUCACCUGCCAAUCGGAAGAAAUUGAGCAAAAACCUCACAAAACCGAAUGGGAACACAAUCCGAUCGACCCUUCCAUUAUUAGGUCACGAAAGAAGGCUGACCGGAGCCGAAACUGAGAAGCCAGAGGUUUGUCGAGCUGUAGCUCAAAGGUAAGCACGUGCCGCGACCCUUCGUCGGUCUCCAUAGCAGAAAAAGCUCCGGAAGCAGCUGAAAACGCAGCCACCAGCUGCUGGAGCAAGCAGCGAGGGGGUGUCCAAGGAGCUAGUGGAGGGUAGAGCUCGAAAACCUUAGAAGAAAGCUUUUCAGCUCUCAAGAGAAGACCAAGACAUUCUGCCUCAAGCUCUUCCCCACGCUUCUCCUUCGACAGCCGAUUACGCCUCCACGAGGCCGCGCACGAAUCGGAACCGCCUUCGACGGAGAGAACGUACCGGAGGCCGGAAACUCGGACCGUCGGGGAGCGGAGGAGCUGGAGGUCAACUCGACGAUCGUGAGGACGGCGGCGGGAGCGAGCGAGGGCUGGCGGAGACAAUGAGGAAGAGAAGAGAAUUUGAUUACGGGCCGAGCCGGGCCGGAUUGGGCCAUAAGUCGGGCUUAACUUCUUCUCCAGCUUCGUUCAUCAUACAAAAAAGAACCUAAGAGAUGACCCGACGGGCCGCCGCGGCCUCAAACGGUCCGGGCCGGGCUUAACAAGUGGCCCUUCGGGCCCGGGUCCCGGCCCGCCAUGCUACUGUUCAUGUCAAGGCGCGGCCUAUUUAUAGAGUUUUUAGGUGGGGUUUAGUAGUAAGCCACCGAGCCAGUGAGCUUCAGAACAAAAGGGAAAGAGAGUCUGGCAAUGUCAGAGAAACUUCUCGCGUAGGGUAGAGAAAACAGCCGGGCUCCGUUUUUUGGGAAAAAAAUAAACAAUUUAAAAAAUGUUUUCUUAAACUUAAUCAUUAUUCUCUCUUAAAAAAUGAGUCAAUGAGAAAAUAUUCCCAUCAUUAAAAACAAUUCCUACCUAAAUAUUUUUGUUGAUAGUGAGAAUAUUCGCCAUCCCCUCUUUUCCUAAGAUAUAUAAAUGAUUAAAAUGAGGAAAUUUCUUUUCCAUGUCAUUGAUUUUUCAAGAUGGGAACGGAGCCUUAGAGAGUUCGUCUUUAUAUGAGCUAGUUAGCCCCAAGUGUUUGGUAGUGGUGUGAGAAAUUCAAUUGUAAUAGUGAGGUGCGGCCUUUUGCUACAUAUAGCGUCGACUAGUUGUCCAAGACAACAUUUUGUUUGAGUGUUAUGUUUGUGUUGGUAUAAGUGUGUCUCGAAUUACCUAGUGCAAUUUUAUUGUAUUACUAGCACCACACUUUCGCACCCAUCAAUUGGUAUUAGAGCCAUGCUUCUUUGCUCAACUAGUGGUAUCAGAGUUAGACGAUCGGAGAUCGAUUGGACCUCGCUUAAGUCUUUGUCCAUCAGCCAAGUCAAGGCGAGUGAUGACAUAAUCGAGAAGAUUUUGAUGGGUACUCGGAGUCUGAAAGUUACAUGCAUAGGGUGUGAUCACAACAACUUUUAUUCGAGAAGCUAGAAAGAACUUAUGACUGGCAGAUGUUGGCUAGACAAGGGCAUAUCUAUGUAGGAGCCUGUCAUCAUUGAUAAUGGUAUUCAUCUGCGGACACAACUUUGUUUACUAAUUCUUCAUCAAAAAGUAUCUCUCUGAUGAAAAAUCCCAGAGAUUAAUUUUCCAUCAUUGAUAAUGUGCUAUUACCAUCUUUCUUAAAAAAGUCCUCCAAUUUUUCACAUGUAAAGAAUGCAAGGUAUAUCAUUCAAAGAGCAUUCUUAGAUUCUACAGAAUUGCAACCACAUUGGUCGAGUGCUAAGUAUUAAGUCUUGCUCGUUUGCUGCUUUCCACAAGCAAUACAGCUACUUUUCAGAGCGCAUACAUUGUUAAAUUAUUAUCUUAAGUUCCUCAAUAUCCUCCAUUCAUUCAUACUGCAGUUUAACAAUGAUGUUGGGUUACAAACAUAGUUAGUUCUAUAAUUACUAAAAGAGUAGCAGAAGCAAAUUUUAUAAGACUACACAACAUCUAUGAUAGAGGGUUUAGCCAAAGGUGUUUUGUGGGACAAAUGCAAAUCACCUUCAAUCCGUUUCCUAUCAAUAGCAAAGGUGAUCUUGGCCUUCUCUUCUUGUUUUCUUGGUCCUUGAAAAUUUUAACUGUAAUUGCUUCAAAACGAGCUCGUGCAAGAUUGCUUGUGCAUAGUUUGAUUAAAUAUGCGGUUUGCACUGGUUGCGGACCAAAUACCAAUAAUUUAUUUUAUUGAUAAUAUUUAUCGUUUCAUCGUAUUAUUAAGUGUCGUUGUUACUAUUUCUGCACUUAUUAUGCAUCAAGAAAGAAUACAUUGAUGACAUAAAGAUUUGGAAAGGAAUAAAUCAAGCAAGAUUUAAUCUUACAAUAGAUUCCGCUAAAGUCGAUAGAAAGUCAUCAUAAGGAUAAUUAACAAACACAAGAAACGAAAUAUCACACAUGCACAUGUCACAUACAUAAAAUCAGAUAUACCAAUGCAGCUCGGUGCAUAUGAUCAAACACAAAGCUAUCAAGUCUAUAAGAGUUUUUCCUCUAGAUUGGCAAUAAAUCCUAGAGGAAGAAUGAUAAAAUUAAACAAUUUCAGAUUUCUGUAUAUCUAUAAAUCAUUAAGUUCUUUGGCUACAUGAUACUCUUGUCAAGAAUACGAAACAUAAUCUCAUAAUCUUAAACCUACCACCUUGAUAGUAUAUAUCUAGCUAGUCAUAUCGAUUAUAGUAAUCCCAGAGAUCGACCCUUUCACAUGAGCGUAUUUUGUACAUUGGCUUGGAUGCAUCACUUAAUAGUGAUGUGUGGAGAAAUGAGUCAAUAUUAAGUGGGAUUUCGACAUUCAAAUGUAAAGUUCGUCGGUUGAUCACACCAUGUAAUCCAUUCAACCCAAAGUACAAACAAUCCAAACCAGACAUUUGGUUCUCGUACAGACGAAAAUAAUAAACAUAUAGGCACGAAGUGAAAGUUGGGCACUAUCGAAUAGUUGUCAAAGCUUGCAGAAAUACCAUGAAAACAAUCAACCCCCCCAGAUAAAAGCCAUGGGUCAGUAUCUUUCAGUCGAUUCCAUCUAAUUCAAUAGAUAGAUGCUUAAACUUUCAUUCUGCUUUUUCUCUUCGAUGAAUGCACGCCUAGCAGAAAAGUUUCAUGGCGGGCAUAAAUUAGAACUCUCCAGAAAGAGUGAAGCCGAAGAGCUUCAGUCAGAAAGCACAGAUGCAUUGCUUCUCACACUGAUGCCUGAGGUUUGAGCAUUAGAAGUCCGCCCACAAGAGCAACACAAGCAUUACCACUGCAAAUUCACAAAGAGACGUUCAUUCUGAUACAGAGUUUAGACGUUCAUUCUGAAUCAGAGAUUUUAUCUUUAUCCUCGUCUAGUAUGUAGACCGGGCCUACUUUCUUGCAGCCAAAACACAAGCGGUGCCUCUACUUGCUGUUGCCCAAAAAAAAAAAAAUCAACUUGAUUUCACUCUAAUGUUCCUAUAAUAUGGCCAUAACUAAUGCGAUGUUUUGAUACAUCUGUUGGGUAAAAGUAAUAAGUACAAUACUUGCAUCGCACUAAGACACAAGUGGAAAUAAUAAUUGUGUACCUUAAGAGGCUAUGGUAUGCAUGUGAACUAUGAAUGCUCUACAGUAUCUUGCUAUACUAGAUACCAUGAAAGUAUCUAUCAUCACUGACAUGUAAGCGCUAGUUCUUAGUCAGUAACUCAGACCACAGCGAACCUACCUUAAGAAGAUAAUUAUUCUUUCCGUAUUUGUCUGGCCACCAAAGAUUCAUCAUUUUUGCACUUUGACCUCCCAAUUGAUCUAAAAUUUAUAGGAAAACCUAAUACUUUAGUAUUUUGCUUCUUCAAAUGAAAAAAUAUUCUUUGGAGCAUAAAUUUGCAUGUUUCCAUUCAUCAAAACAAAAAAUGACAUGGUCCAAAAAGAGGCUCAACGUACAUAUGCUAGCCAUAUUCGAACUUAAGAGUAGAUUGUAAAAGUAGAAAUUUAGUACGGAGCAUGAACAAGAUUGAUUCAGUUCCACCAUCCAGUCAAUGAGAUAAUUUUGUUACCGACACUACUGGCAAGUUUAUCAAAUAAUGAUCCAGAAAGGAAAGACUAUGGGCAACGAUAAGUUACCAAACAUCCAGACUGCAAAUGGACAUGGUAAGAAGCUUGAGGAAAAUAGUUUUUUGAGUAUACAAUUGAUGGCAUGACAAUGAAUUGAUCCUUAGCUCGAUGCAAUGGCAAUGUGAAAAUUUCUCACCACUAACUGACAAGGAGGAACUGUAGUAUGGGGAAGGCUGCCAACUUCUCAUUCUCCAUCUUUAGGUGUAAGAGUCCUAUAUGUAUAUUUUCACUGGGUUAGUAUUUUAGAAGUGAGAAUGAGAUAACCAAGCAUAAGUGUUAUCACAAAAUAUAAGCAAAAGUGGCACUACUAAUCCAUUAGGGUAAUCAAAUGCACAUUUCUUGACAUACAUACAAGGCUCCAGCUGUUAAGAUAUGUUGGAACUUUUGAAGUUAUGGUAAGUUAGAAAGUAAAACAUCCUUUAAAAUUGCAGGCAUGAAAUGACAUGUGUAUGCGGAGUAAAAACUGAGCUACUGCUAGUCAUGCUAAUGAGGAGAGCAGAUACAUAACAAAUAGGAAGAACAAAUGAACAAACCUUUCUACAAGAAGUUGGAGUUCCAAACCCCAAUACGCUCUUCCUCUAAUUUUUUGAAGGCCCAAAAAGGUCUAGACUAGUUGACAAGUUUGCUAGGUAACGAAUUGACAAUACACCUGUUACUGGUUCAACAGGGUCAAUACCACCGGUUCUUGACCAGUACCACCAGUCCUUGACAACUACUGUUUCUGUUGUGAAACUAGACUUGAAAGAAAAGCACAAUAUCCUAGUCUUUUUUCAUUUUGCCAUUAAUGUCUUAAAAAGUGAAUUGACAUCCGUUGGAACACAUAAAACUCAUAAGCAACCUGUACUUAUCACAAGUAAGGAAUCAAUAUGCAAGCUUUGGAUCCACAAGUUACCUUCAGUGUGACACCCAGAUUUUCAAGCUCCGACUUCGAUGGGAUAAAUUGGGCAUUUCAUCGACGCGACUACAGUAUUUUUCUUUGAGUUGGCCACUCACAAGAUAACUAGACUAGCUGGGUAAGCUAUUAGGGACUUUAAGGCAGAUAGACUGAGAAUUCGACCAGAAAUCGACUUCUUGACCGUGCUUAUCUUUAGGGAUCAUUGUGGCACAGUAUAAAAUCGAUUUGAGAUCAAAGAUAGGUCAGUCGACUGAGAUGUGUGACCGAUCGUGGGUGACUCCACUAAAUUGGAAAAUUCUCGUUGAUCGGUACUAGUUUGAUUUUACUGUCGUUUUGGUACCAUGUAUCCGUAUCUGAAUCCUCGAGAUUUUCACUAUAAUCAAGAGUCGCCAAUGAGUCGAGUGGGUUCAUAGUGGCUCGAAGAAAAUCGACCACGGGUCAUUUGCCUUAAAAAGUUCUGAAAAUUACCCAGUAGUCUAGGUCAUGCUAAAAACGCGUCGGAGUGAAAUUAACCGCCAAUCUGAGUCCGAUUUCAGAAAUUGAAGAUUUUGUCAUGUCACAAUAAAUUUUAGGAAUGUCGACUCACCUUUUGAAGAAUUUUCAGCGAGUUCGGGAUUUUUACGGAAAAUCGUUGCGGACGAUGCGGAGAACGAGCGAAAAUUCGGAUUGGUCAAUUUGAAGAGACUUUUAGCAUCUAGUGUAAGUGAAUCGGUGAAUGGAAGUUGUUUGGGCUUUUUCUGAUUUCAAAUUGGACCUCAACCGAAUUUUUUUUGUUCAGAAAAUCGGAUUCCGAGAAAAAUGAAAUAAAAAUCAGUUUUGAAGGAAAUUCGUGAGAUGGAGAAAUCGAUUCAUCUUGGUCUUUAUUGAGACUUCAAAUUGUGCAAUUGGUAAAGAAUUGGACCCCAGAAUGACCAAUCGACGAAGUUGGUUGAAGUUGAGCAAAUGGUGUUUAUGUUUUGUUUAAUUUUCUCUCCAUUCUCCUUGGAUCCACGCACUCAUGCACGUACCCCUCUUCGGCCGACAACACCCAUGCACAUCUUCACUUUGAAAAUUGCUUUGGUCUUCAUUUCUUUAAAUGUUGACCAAUGGGACCCCCCUUCCUUCCUAUCCAUUUGCGGUCACAUCUCCCCCUCUCUUUUAUUAUUUCUCCAUGCUUCGCACGUUCCUCAUUACUUCAGCCGACAAUCUCUCUCUCUCUCGCACGAAACCCCCCUGCAGUCUUCAAUUUCUUCUUUUCCUUUGACCGGUCUUCUCUUUUAUCUUUUCUUCACUUGCUUCCCACGCCAGGGCAGCUGAACCCUACUCCCUCACGUCUUCUGCUUUCUUUAAUUUGCUUGGACGGAAGCAAACCCGCAGAAGCAGCCCCGCGAUUCCUCUUCUUCUCUGCCAUGCCGCACUCACGCAUGCCUCAUCCCCACCGAGAAUUUUCUUCCCUGUAGCUCACCCACGUAUUUCAUUCGGUCAGCAAAUCAGCAACUUCUUCUCAUGGUUAACUCCAGCAGCGACGAAAAGGAUUCCUCCGAGAGACCUCACGUCCCGCAAGCCCCGCAGCUGCAACUCAGCCCGGUUCCUGGUAGUUCCAUCACUGCGGCCACCGAAUCCAGUCAAACCGUGUCCAUUCAGCCACUGAUUUCAUCCCUGCAGAACCGAUUCAGCAAGGUCAGAAGCUCGGGAGCAGAAUACCCAACUCGAACAGCGAGCUUGUAGGCCGAUUUCGGCCUCGGUUUGGCCCCACUUGGCAGUCCUGCUUUGAGGUUUAUCGGCACUCGUCGCGUGCUCGUCAAUUUGAUCCCAACGGAUCUUUAAUCAAGUGAGUUUUACUCACUAAUGCCUUCUUAGUGUGCUAAUUAUACUUAAAGGUUGAUUAGUGUUAAUUAAGUGUAAUUAGGUGGUUAGAUUAGAAUUGAUUAGUGAUUUUUAGUUAAUUGCUUUGCAUAUUAGUUAUGUGAUUAGUGUAAUUAGAUAGAGAAUUGCCUAUAGUAUUUAUUGGAAGCUUCUUGGGAUUUUUCCCGUCCCUUAUCAGGUGUUAAUUAAGUAAAUCAGGCCUAGGUGGAAUUUUUAGGAAUUAAAUAUUAAUUUUCGAAAUUAAUUAUUUAAUUAUUUAUUUCCCGAAAAUUCAACUGGGAUGGCCAGUGACCGGGAUUUUAUGCUGAUGAUCGCAGUCCGUUUAUUUAAUUGAGUUUCAUAUUGUGCUAAAUUGGAAUUAUUAUGUUUAUUUAUUAAUUUUCGAAAUUAAUUAUUUAAUUAUUUAUUUCCCGAAAAUUCAACUGGGAUGGCCAGUGUCCGGAAUUUUGUGAUGAUUGUCGUAGAUCAGUCCGUUUAUUUAUUUGAGCUUUAAUUCGUGUCGAAUUGAUUUAAUGGUGCAUUUUAAGUUAUGUUAUUAAAUAAUGCAAUUUUCGCCUUGUGAUUAAGAAUUGGUCGGGUAUCGGUUGUCAGUAUCGAAAGUGAGUUGGUAAAUCACCUGGAGAAUGCAUGUGGCCUGGUGAAUUGGAAUGUCACCUGGGAAAGACACGUGGCUUGGUGAUUAGAUAUGUCAUCUUGGCGAAAAAGUAGCCUUAGAGAAUGCACGUGGCUCGGAGACUCGGUAUGUCUUCCUAGAGAAUGCACGUGGCUCGGUGACAGAGUAUGGCAUCGUAGAAAGGGGUCGAGUGGGACCAUAAAGCCACUAAAUCUUGGAAUGGUCGGGUGGGACCGUAAAGCCACUAGAUCAUGAGAGGGUUGGGUGGGACCAUAAAGCCACUAAAUCUUUAAGGGGGUCGGGUGGGACCAUAAAGCCACUAAAUCUUGGAAUGGUCGGGUGGGACCGUAAAGCUACUAGAUCAUGAGAGGGUCGGGUGGGACCAUAAAGCCACUAAAUCUUGAAAAGGUCAGGUGGGACCAUAAAGCCACUAAAUCUUGGAAAAGUCGGGUGGGAUCGUAAAGCCACUAGAUCAUGAGAGGGUCGGGUGGGACCAUAAAGCCACUAAAUCUUGAAAAGGUCGGGUGGGACCAUAAAGCCACUAAAUCUUGGAAAGGUCGGGUGGGACCAUAAAGCCAUUAGAUCUUGAGAGGGUCGGGUGGGACCGUAAAGCCUCUAGAUCUUGAAAGGGUUGGGUGGGACCGUAAAGCCACUAGAUCUUGAGAGGGUCGGGUGGGCCCGUAAAGCCACUAAAUCCAAGGAAUUGCUUGGUGUGGGAUGAAUGACCUAGAAAUGGUCCGGCUGGUAUGAAAUCGACUAAGUCGGUUAGAUCGAUGCUUCGAUCUGUGAUGUGAUUGCUUGUGUACCUAUAUGAUAUGUGCUAAUAUGCAAGUGGAAUUUGAGGCCAAGGUAAGUCCUCCGACUCAUGUUGUGCAUAGGCAGCCCUAAGGUGUAUUAGUUUACUAAUCGGGUCUUAGGGGAUAGAACUUGCUGAGACGUUGUCUCAGUGGUUAUUGAAUAACCAUUUUAGGACCUGGAUGAGGAGCCUAAGGAGCAUGAAUCUGGUGAGGAGAUCUCUGUUGAGGAACCCGAAGAGGAGUACAUGGAGGAGGACCCCGAGGAUAACUUCGAGUACGACCCGGAUGAGGACUGAGAUCCUGUCCUGUCUUGUCAGACCUUGUGUGCAUGUGAAUAGAUGUUAGACCAGAGUUGCAUAUAUAUAGUAUUGUAGAAUACUAUGAGAUGCAUGUAAAAAGGUGUGGUUGUAAAUUUUCAGUAUGAAAAAUAUAUGACCUGCUUUUCUAUCCCAUUGCUUUAUUGUCUGGGGAAUUAUAACUGCUUCCGCAUGUGCAUAUAUAAAUGAAAUGGUUGGCGAUACAUAGUCCUGGGAUAUCGCACAUUGUAAUCAACCAAAAGUAAGGGAUGUGUGCUUGCCUAAGGAUCGGGGCGUGACAUUCAGUCGGUACAACUCCUAGUUAUUUGCACAAGUGGUGGUGCAAAUGGAAGGCCAUUGGCCUGCAAGAUCAUCAUCCAGGCAUCUUCCAAAUUUUCAUGAGCAUCACUGAUCUUACCUAGCAGCAGAACAAUUUGACGUUCUUGUUUCCAGCAUAAUAUAUUAGUCACAUCUGCAAAUAAGGGCUUCAAAAUAAGAUAUGCCAUGAUUUUACCUUAUAUAGAGCCAAAUCCACACCAUAGUAAUUAGGAGGGAUGCACAACAAGAUUGCCUCCAAAGGCCUUCCCCGUUUCACAUUGCUUGAAUCGUUCAUAAAUCACCUCACCACUACUAUAUCAUUUGUAACAUCUAAUAAAGACUAUUUGGAAAGAGAUGUGAUCUGUAAACCCAAUUUCAUGAGUUCAAUUAGAUGAAGCAAAUUCAGAGGCAUCCUAUAAUUGUACUAUGCACAUGUAGAUCCCUGGAGAAAAUUGUAGUUUCAGAUUAAAGGUAUAUACCUAAUUGUACUCUGCACAAAUAUAUGAGGGAAUUGUGAUAAUAAAUUCAUAUCAAGAUUUUUUUUAAAAUAGUAAAAAAAGGCAUCUUGAUAGCUUCCUUGAAAAUUUAAUGAUUAAAUCAUUUCCUAAUAAAAAAAAUGAGGUACUGUUUUUCUAUACACAAUGAUCGUAAGCUAAACAGAAAGCUCAAUCCAACAAGAUCACCCAACUUAAGUUCCAAUUACAUUGUCAAGUAAUCAACUUGAGACCAAAUACGAAACACUAGAAUAUUAAGAAGAGGGUAAGUGAAAAACCAUUGUUGACUACAAAACCCAGAAGACAACACCCCACCCUCGAAGGUUUCCUUAUCUUGUUCUCCUUCUCACAUUAUAGUCUCAUAGUUCUAGCUACUCAGGCAAGGAAAUGAAAAAUAUUCGUACAAUUUUUUGGUAAUAGGAAAAUGGAUAGAAAGAUCUACAAACUCAACUAAUUGAUGAGUUGGAUAAUACCAAAAAGCAAAGGAUUGCAAUGUUUACACAAUCCAAAUUUGAAUCUAGGCACUCAUACUCAAACUCCCAUUAUGCAUACAAAGAGAUCAAAAAUUUCACAUUUGGUACACAUAUCAGCAAUGAGGACUAGACUUGAAAGGGAGAAAAAUCAAUCACUUCAAACAAUAGAUAGCAGUAAUAUUUUGUCCCAUAAUUCAUAUUUCUCCCACAGAGGUGGCAUGUGUAAGAACACUUAUGCAUGGCAAACAAGAUAUAGCAUAAACAAGAAGAAUCUACAAUGAAAGAGCAAUAAACAACACAUUCAGAUAUGAAUAUCUAUGCAAGAACAAGAUUCUAUUACAUUUCACAUUUCUUAUUCUUUUGCUAAUACCUUUGUUCCAUCUACUGAAAUUCCUCCAUAAGUGUCCUUCGCAAAUAUUCACUGUCCCCAAAACCUCCAAAUUGCUAUAAUUCUGACACAAUAAUGCGUGUAAGACAUUUUGCUGACUUGACCUGACAUAAAACAUAAAGGCAGAAAAGUGCAAGAAAUCACACUUUUUUCUUUAAAAAAGCAAGACCUUCCAAUCCAAUGAGAAAUAACAAUCAACAUGUCAAUUUUAACCCUCAUUACCUUGAGGAUAAUUAAAAUAGUGCUGGACCAACAAAAACCAGAGUUGACGACCUGCAAACCCCACUAACUUGAGUCAAUCUUCUCUAGUUGAAGUGCUCAAAGUAUUUAUGAAAACUGUAGCAAGAUGACAUGAAAUGAAGAACCCACAAACCAGGAGUCAUUUACCAUUGCGUAUCAUCAGUUUAGCAACUAAUUUAGAUGCUGCUAGAGCACAUGAAAACAAUACUAGGCUUGACAGCAUAUCAUUCUGACGUAUAAAGCAUGACCAAGUUCCAUUACACCAUGGUAUUAGAAUUCUCUUGCACACAAAUGGAUAGCACAACCCUGUGAAGGCCUACCAAAAUAGCUACUAGAGUACAUGAAGGCAAAUACCAAGCUGACCAUAUUUCACGGUAUCUAAGGAGUACUAAGCUAACCAACUUUUUCACUUUGAAGCAAUUAUAAGGACAGACUGUCCACAGCCUUUGCCAAUUGACACUACCUUCGAGUCUUCCGUGACUAUCGCCAGCCAAUACUUCUCCAGAUUCUACUCCGUCAUCUUCACCUGCCAAUCGGAAAUCAAGCAAACUUCACAAAAUCGAGUCGACCGCCUAUUAGUUCGCAAAAGAACGCUAGGAACUAGACCUAAGAAGCCAGUGAUUUAUCGAACUAAAGUUGAAACAGAAACAUGAUGCACUGCGGUCCUUUGCCAGUCUCUAUAGCUAAACCUUUGUGAGUAGCUGAAAAUGCAACAUUAACACUGGAACAAAUUGCAAGGAUGUGAGCUGAAAGAGGGCUUGUGAAGGAUAGAGCUCAAAGAACCUUAACGAAAGCUUGAGCCAGUUAAAGAGUGAGAGGGUAAGGAAAGUCCACUUGGGUCCUAGAGUAAACAAGUGGGAGAGAAAAUAAGGAAGAUAGAGAAACUUGAUCACAGGAGUGGAGGCGAACAUUUUCAAGUAUGCAAAAAACCUUUUACCAUUCCAAGUAUGCAUUGAGCUUCUGAUCCUUCUAUAUUUCAAUUCCUUUUAGAAGUGCCUGGCGAAAGCUCUCUCGGAUAUUUCAGCAUUUACAUCAACCAAUGAAAUAAUAACCGAAUCUUGCCUGUGAAUCAGAUGAAAUCAAUCCAGCAACUAACAUCAACGAACUAGGAAUAAUACUCUGAAGUUUAUGAAUCACUAUUUCUCAAACUACAUUUUCUUUUUGAACUCUUUGGAUCCAACUAAUGGGCCAUCUAACAUCAUCACCCACAGAAGCUUUGAUCAAAUUAACAUAGUGAAUUCAACUUAGGUUGCUUGCUUUUGCGGGACAUAGUAUGAUUCUUUUCCUUAUCAUUAUGUGAUAUUCAUGAUUAGAAUGAAUGCAAGGCAGUUUUCAAAUGGCAUAUAGGAUAUCGAAAAGUUUCCUCAUGAAACUUAUGCAAAUGCUUCCUGUCUUUUACUUUUCAACAAGUAAAUGAACUAAGAAGAGCUUAUACACAAUAUACGAAUUAUUUUACAGUACAACCGAUUAUGUCAAAAGACACUCCAAUAAUGUCUUGCUUGGCUCAAAAGUUCAAGUAUAUGACAGAUGGCUUUUCCAACUCUACAAAUAUCAAGAUGCAUUCUUUGGGAUAAUCUAUUAUUAGCCUUGGAGUAGUUAUAUCCUGGAUUCAAACCAAAUGAACAAGGAUCCAUAGUUAGAAAAAUUCGAAUUGCAAUUUUCUCGAUUGAUCCAAAUAAUUCACAAUGCUUUUGCUUCUACCUGAUUGUUAGUUCACUCACAGCCACACCAGUAGGAGAAGAGCUUGUUGUUGCAUUUGGCAUUUCUAGAUUGACAUGGUUACUGUAAUUAGCUAAUGCAAACAGUUCUGUGAAAUAAAAUGUAUGGAACUCAAUGGUUGGAUAAACUUUAUCCAAUGUUUGUAGUGUUUGCAUACCGAGGGAUGCCCUGUCAACGUGCUCCAUUUGCACCUUAAAUUCACUCUUAAGCAUAACUUAUAAACAUGCAAUCAUGAGCUCCAUGGUAAGGGCAGAGCAAACUAAAACCUCAAAUUAGGAGGACCGCCACAUAGGGUCCUUCAAUUUGCAUUUCUCAACCUGCACAAUGACCUUUGGCAUCCUAUUAGAGACUUGUAUAUACCAGUUUUUAUGCACUACUUCUAGCAUUCCAGAAUCAAUCGAACAUUGAGAAUCUUUAUUUUUCUGCAUAGGAUGAAGAAAUCUUACUCGAUAACUAAUGAAAAAUGAUUUGCUUGGAAAGCCUUUUCAUCCAAAUAAUUCACCUAGAGAUAUCCAGUCUUUCCAAAACUCCGGCCUAUCGAAGCCUUCAAUUUUGACUAAGUUUUUGCAGCCCUUAGCUUCUAAUUUCUUCAGCCUCUCGGAUUUUGGAAGGGAUAGUAUUUCUAUUGAAGUGCACCAAGAGAUAUCUAAGCUUUCCAAAUACUCCAACCUAUCAAGGCCUUGAAUUUCAGUUAAGUUUUUGCAACUUCUAGCUUCUAAUUCCUUCAGCCUCCCGGAUUUUGGAAGGUAUAGCCUUUCAAUUAAAGUGCACCUGUUGAUAUCUAGCCUUUCCAAAUACUCCGACCUAUCAAGGCCUUGAAUUUCGGCUAAGUUUUCGCAGCUUCCAGCUUUUAAUUCCUUCAGCCUCCCGGAUUUUGGAAGGUCCAAUCGUUUGAUUGAAUCACACGAUAUGACAUUCAAGCUUUCCAAAUAUAUCAAUUUGUCAAUACCUCGAACUUCAAGUAGAUUGUCGCAGCUUUCGAGGCAUAAUCUCCUUAGAUGGAUAAACCAUGAAACGUCCAGUGUUUCGAGAGAAAAGCAGUACUCGACGACCAAGGAUUCCAACUUGAAGGGUAUGUUUAAGGAUUGUGGUGAUUCCACUUCUUCAAUGUCCGUCGGUUGAGAGCAUUCUGAACUCUUUAAUUGCAUUGAUGGAAGCUCCUGGAUGCACUGGAGAAGUUCGCAAUUCUGAAGUUGUAGCGCCUUGAGAUGGGCUGGGUGGGAAAGCGAAGGCAAUUUGCGACUUCGACAGGUGACGCCCAAAUCUAUUAAGCUGGAAGGAAGGUCCGGCAGCGAUUGGAGGUUGUCGCAGCAUUUAAAAUCAAGGAGUCGUAGGGAAGAAAGAUUACACAUGCUUUCUACCAUUAUCCUUUUCAGAUUUCUGCAAUGGAAAGCAUGUAACUCUCGGAGCUUUCUCAGACUCCCAAUACCAUUGGGUAAUUCUUCUAUACCACUUUCAGAAAUAUCUAGAAUCUCUAGAUUCUCCAAAGACCCUAUGCUAUUUGGUAAUGCAGGAAGGGAUGGAGUAUCGGAUAGAUCGAGUUGCUGCAGUGCUUUUAAUUGACCUAUUUCUACUGGAAGCUCCCCGAGGCAGAAAUGAGGAAUGGGGCAUUCGGCGCCUGCGUCGGCGCCUACCGUGAGAUGAAGCGCGCGGGACGAGCCUAGCUCCAAGCGAAGGAGGCCCUCCGUGUCUUCAAUGGAAGCGUCGAUUCGCUUUAGUGCAGUACACCCACCGAGGAUGAGAACCUCUAACUUCUCAAAAGCUGAGAGGAAGUCAAUAUUUUCCAAGUAAUCACACCAUGAAAGGUCUAGAUAUUUAAGCUUCUUUGCCAUCUACGAAAAAAAAAAAAAAACACAAUAAUGAAUGUCGAUGGGUGAGUGUAGAGUCAUUAUGAUUCAAAAGAAAGCAUAAAAGAGAGGAAAAAAAGAAGAGUUUAAUUCUUACCUUGAAAAAAUUCCAUCCCUCCCAUUUCUCAUUUAUCUUGCUUCCUUGCAAUUCGAGUACAGCUAAUUCCUUCACAUCAAAAUUGUUUACUUCAAAAUUUGCAGGACAUUUUCGCCAUUGAAGCCAUUUUAACCUCUUCAUUAAGCCCUUAAAAUCUCCACUAAGAUGCGCAUUUAUCAUGUGAAGAUAUCUUAGAUUCGUCAAAUUCUCAAAUUUUUUUUCUGUGUAAAUGUCACCAUCUCCCUCAUCAUUUUCUAGCGAAAAUAUUUCGUCCAAGCCUUCUGCGCUGGCUUCACUCAGAUUAAUCGCCUCAAUCUUGUAUGUUCCCUAUAAGCAAGAAUCAAUGUUCAUUAGUACCAUAUCCAACUAAAGUCAUCGAAUAUCAUUUGUUCAAUGCUAUUGAUGUGUAUUAAUGUGUUCAAGAGACCAGCAAUGUGAAGACAUGAUUUUCUUUUUAUGCCAAUAAACUAUAAUCAUAAGGGCUCACAAAGUGAAGGAUGUCGACUUCCAUUUCGAAAUUUGGCCAUACGCAUCCGGAUCUUAAAAAUAAUUAUUAUGUAAUGGCUCGUCUAGAGUAAAAACUCUACAACUUGUAAUCUUCUUUCUGGAACUGUGGUUUCAUUAUCAAACUAGUUAAGACAUGCAUGCAAAGCACGGAAUAUAAUCAAAUUGCAAAGUACAAAAUCAAAAUUUUACUUGGUCAAUUUUAUAUUUCUAUUAAGGAGACUUUUUCUAUUAAGCAAUGCAUGGGUGAAAGGAUAGAUAAAAGGGAGAAAAGCCUCAGAAGCAGCAAGUCGGCCAGCAAAACUUACCACAGAUUCGGUGUUAUUAAGGAGACUUCUAGCAAAAAAAAAAAGAAAGAUAUAUAUAUAGUUUAAAAAGUUAGAAAUAAAACUCCUUUGAAGGAAAUAACCGUUCUGAGAACUCCAAAAAUCAAAACGGAAGGGGGAAAAUAAAGAGGCCACGAGAUCCCGGCCUAACCGUUUUUGAUGAAAGAAAUUAAUUUCUCGCCAUCGAUUCGGAUAAUUGAAAUAACUCAAAAAGGCUUGUUUCGAGUAACUUUUAUUAUUCGCCCUUUGCUUCGCCAUCGUUUUUGAUAGGAGAGCAAGAUAUUUACUUCUGAUUUUUAUUAGUUGCGGCGAGCAAUCUAUCUCGCCCUUUGCUUCAGCCUGUAGAUUUUGUCUGAAGGUAUUUUGGGAGUACCUGUUAAGUAACCUGACUGUUAAAAAAAAAAAAAAAACUCUAUGUGAAGUGGUUUUUAUUAGAAGUGUUGAUUUAAUAUAAUACGAGAACAUGAAAAUCGUGAAAGUCAUCUCGAAAGAGAAACACAGAUUUUCAGCGAAGAGGGCCAUUUAUUAAAUGAAAAAGUCAUACGUGAUAUACAAGAUUUUACUAAUUAAUAUAUCAAACAGGAGAUUUAAUAUGUAUAUAAAUUGCAACGUACACUUAAUUUCAUGUGAUAGGGAAUAUUAAUAUAUGACAGAAAAACCAUAAAAGGAAAUUCUUUCUAUAAGAGAGCAACUCCCUACUUUCUAAUCACGUCAAUGAAAAAUUCGGGGGCAAUAGUGAAGGUUCUCAAUCCUCUAGACCAAGCACUAAGUAGUGACCGACAUUACUCUUAAGCAUAGAACAUGGACUAAAUGAGAAAAAGAAAUGAAACGGUUACCUUAUUUUCCUUUAGCACUUUUUGGGCUUCCUUAUAGUCCCAUAACCUACUACGGCACCAAGGUUCUCGUUUGUUUUCCUCACGAACUAUUUCCCUACCUAGAUCUCUCAAUUGGUCAUGCAUUCUGAGCUUAUGAUCAUCUCCAACUUUUAUCAAUGACAUGAAUAUCAAUACUUCAAUUCCCUCCCCGGGGAAAAAGUCACAAGCAUCCCACAUGUAGGAUGCGAUUAUGUUGUUAGUGCCAAUGAAAAGGCAAGCGAUAUCCAAAAAAAUUUGUUUUUGUUCAUAGUCCAAUGCUUCGUAACUUAUUCUUAACUUUUCUUGCACUUUCUUAGGAGGGACUUUUUUUAACUUCUUUAUCGUAUCUCUCCACUGUCUCGACUCUUUUCCACACAAUAAUGAACCAAAAACCUCAAGGGAUAAGGGAAGCCCUCCGGUGAUGGAUACAGCUUCAUGAGUGAGGUCCUCAAAUUCCCUCGAAGGAGAGUCCCUUCGAAAUGCAUGUUUGCUAAACAGAAUCAAAGAUUGAUUGUAAUCCAUUUCCUUAUGUUCAUAGUCGUGGUCCACCCUAGCUUCUUCAAGAACCCUCUUGUUUCUGGUGGUAAUAAUGAUCUUGCUUCCCGAAGAAAACCAAUCACGAUUACCAGCCAAACUCUCCAACUGAACGACAUCAUCCACAUCAUCAAGAAGAACGAGGACCUUUUUACUUUUAAAUUUGGAAGAGAUGAAAUUAGUCCCUGCAUCCGCAUUACAAACUUCAUCUUUCAGCUUCAAUAUAUCGUAGAUUAAUUGAUUUUGUAAAUAAUGCAUGGCAUUACGCUUCCACAAUUCCCUUAUAUCAACAAUGAAGCUAUGAUGCUCAAAUUGAUCGAAGAGCCUGUUGUAGAUGGCUUUAGCAAGCGUAGUCUUACCAAUGCCUCCCAUUCCGUGGAUGCCAACAAAUAGGGUGUCAUGAGAUUUAUUAUCCACAAAUUCCAUAACCUUCUUCACAUGAACAUCAAUUCCGACCAAAUUCUUAGAAAUGUCCAACUUGAACUUUUUCUUCAGUUCAUUCAACACUUUUCGGACGAUCGAUUUCACCAACUCUACUUCAGACCUGUCAAAUGUGACAUGAGUUCAAAUAUGUAGCAACAAUAAUUUUAUAUUGUUUAUCUAUAGAGAACAUAAUAAAUCUGGGGAUAGAUUGAAAAACUUAAAAUAUCAUUGCUGUCAUACCUCUACAUAUAAUGAUAUAUGCUAAGUCUAAAGUGUGGUUGCUUCAAAUGGGGUGCUCCAUUUCAAUGUUACUCCAACAUAAUUUAUCAAGUCAGGAAAAACUUGAGAAAAACUUGAGGGUAUCACUUAUGAAUCUUAAAUAUUGUAUAUAUUUAGGAUUUGAACCAAAUUUUAAACUGGUUUUUUAUUUAAGACAUUAGGGAUGAUGUGGAUGUGACUUUAAAAAUUGUUUAGAGCAUUUGAAUAAGCAAAAAUCCUAUAAGGCAACCCAAUAUGAGAGUUAGCUAUCAAUCAAUAAACAAGUCAUAACUUUUGAUGCAAGAUGAAUUUAGGUCCCGUAACACCAAUCCGAAAAGUAGUUCAGAUUGUGAUAUUGUGAACUACUUGAAUGCAAUUGAAGGGAUUUCUUCUUGUUUGUGCAAUUCUACAGGCUCGCAAGUUUAACUUGUGUUGUGAAUUUAGAAUCAUUCUAGAUAGGUGCUCUUAUCAGUUUUCAUUGCCACUAGGGAUGAUUACAAGUUGUACUUUAUUUUCCUUUUGAGUAUCUAUGUUCUAUGACUUUAAUGAUCCAGUAUUGAGUUUAUAGGGAAGUAGAAGAAUAAUUUUUACCCAAAAAAGAACAUUGCUUCAAUAUAUGCAGAUGCAUGAGAUAGAAAUUACAUGUUGAAGAUAGGAAAUGCUUUGAAAAUUAUUUAAACAGACAUAUAAUAAAAAUAAUCAUUUUUUUUUGUCAUCAUCUUAUAUAACCAAUGAAACAUUUCUUUUGUAAAAUAAUUUUAAUAAUAACUAAUCAACUUUAUCAAUGAUUUAAUAAAUGUAACUUGGGAAGAUAAAGAAUUAUAGCAAAGCUUGGACGCUACCAUCUUAUGAGCUUUAAAUAAAAAUCGACAAUGAGUCGUUCUAUUAAUCUCAAAUAGAUAUGUAAUUAGAAAAGUUUGUGACAAAGAUUAAUGUAAUGCACCCUAUAAUUAGAUUGGUCAAUAUCAUUAAAGCAAUAAAAUUUAUUCAAGUGAAUGAGGUAUAAGAGUAAAAAAAUCUUUUGAUAUAAGAGUAAAUUCAUUAAAGCAAUAAAAAAAAUUCCAUCAUCUUAUACUAUUACAAAAUCUUUUGAUAUAAGAGUAAAAAUUCGUUCAAAAAAUCUUAUUAUUCAAGUGAAUGGGAUCAUAACAAUAAAAUUUAUAAUUAGAUUGGUCAAUAUGGUUAAAGCAGAAAACUAAAAAAGAAAGAAUAACUUAUAGAAUUCAUGCACCGUAGGAUCUUACUGCCAGCAAGAUCUUACAGUUUUUUAUAUAUAAAAAAAGAACGUAAAAUGAAGCAGGUGAGAAUUAGAGAAACCAACGUACCCAACGAAAAAAAAGAAUAAUUAGAACAGCCAGUAAACACCCCCACAUAUUAAAAGAAAUUAGAGAAUGUUUCGGCGAGAAAUUUUACCCUUGGGCUUCGUAUCCUUUCAAGGUGCUGACUUCAAGGAGUGCUUUCUUCCAUUUCUCCAAGGUCACUGCGUCGAAAGUAGACCUCCCAAGCAAACACUUCUCACGCCUAUGAAAUGCCUCUCCAAAACUCCCGAUUUGAUGUCCCACGUCAGCUGGUUUCACUUUGUAGAAUAUAGGCAACACCAUUUGCCCGUUCUUAUUCUUGCACUCCAUUAUUUGAACCAGUUCAUCUAGGCACCAACUACUUGUACCAUAAUUCUCUGAGAAAAUGGGGAUUAGAAUCUUACUGCUCGUGAUGGCUUUCAUAAGCACUGGUCUGAUGUCCUCGCCAUGGCAGAGCUCAUCAUCGUCUCUGAAAGCUUCAAUUCCGGCAUCAAUGAGCCCUUUAUCGAGGUGAUCGGUGAAGCCAUAUCGAGUAUCUGGGCCUCUAAAACUCAAGAAUACCUCAUAGCAGUUUCCAGUUAACGAAUUAGAUGCACUGUUGUUCGCUUUUGUCGGGGACGGACUGGAUCCAUCGGAAUUAGUUUCCGUUGGUGCAGCCAUCGAAUCAGAUGCACCAGUAUCAACAUCUUCUGCCUUUCCACGCACACUAGCUCUCUUCUUAUUGAGAAAAUAGAGCAUGAGGCCGGGGAGAAGGAUCAGUGCCACGAGCUCGGCAAAAGAAUACUCGAAAAUGAGACGAUGCAUUUCGUCUUUGCCCUGACUCUACCCUUGAUUUUCACUUUCAAGUGUGGUAGAGAAAAAAAUCGGAAUGCCUCUCAGGAAACAGAAAAUGCGUUAUUGUUGCCCAUUCUCUUGCGGUUUGAUUUAUAUAAUGAAACCAAUUGGCAACCAGAUUCGCACCAACUUGUCGGGCUACAUAUAAAUUCGUAAUUCAUUUACAGGGAACCGCAACCACGUGCUUGGAGUCGUUGCCUUCACAAUGCUCAAGGGAAUCCGAAUAUUAAUAAUAGACGGGCUGUUCAAAUUUCAAUACUCAUAAAUAAAAUGGUGGAUUUGUUGGGAAGAUGAAAAGUGGAGAGAGAGAGAGAGAGACUUGGGACGAGAGCGGAACAUGGAUCUGCGGGAGAAGAUGAAAAGGAGAAAGACAAGAGUCCAUUUCCAGAGAUGUGCUCAGAAUAGAUAAAUAUAUACAGAGCGUCGAAAAGGUGAUGUUGGGCACACCGAGUCCAGUGCCUAAAUGUUUUUGACCCUUUAACAAAUCAAAUUCAUUUCUUUCGAUAAUCCAAAAUAAGCACAUAUUUGUGUGCCCUUUUUUGCUAGCGAAUUGAAUAAGCGAACUAACUAAUCUAGGUGGAUUGAUUCCUAAUUUUUUGAUCAAACACAAUUUCGUUUUGGAUAUAAUUUUUCAUGUCACUUUGAUGAUGUUGAUCUUUUUUCUGCUUUAGAAAUGCCACAUCAAACAACCAACAAUGUUUUUGAACAUAAGGUUAACAAGGCAAAUUUGAGAUUAGUCAGUGAUUUUUUUAGAUAAAAAGAUGUUUAGGCUGGGAUUAGACAACAAGUUUAGGAUUUUUUUAGACAAAAAAAAAAAUCGAGGACAGAUUUAAGAUUAGAUCCAAGGUCAAGGAUUUAUCUUUUUAGAUAAGAAAGUUUGAGAUAAAAUUAAAACUGGAUUUAAAAUUUGAGGGUUUUUAGGACAUUAGGCCUAUAUAAAAAGAGGGAAGAGAAAAUUGAGGAGUUUUACCUAUUUAAGGGCAGAUUUGCAAUUAGAUAGCAAAUAAUUUUAUUUUUAUCCCUUUGCACUGUGGCUCAGUUCCACCAGUCCUUGAUUAACGUGAGACUAUCGCUCUUCUCUAUCAAAUUUGUCUAUUUCUUAUUUGGAAUGAGUGGCUGGGCCUAUCACACUUCUCUUUACUUAAUUGUCAAGUUACCAAUUAAUUUUUUUUUAAAUAUCAACGUAUUGAUUUUGUUUAGCCAGAUUUAUUAAUUUCACAAUUAAUCAAUCAAUCCAAAGCUAAAUAAGUAAAUCAAAAUUUACAAUUUUUGCGACAAAUGUUUUUGAUCGGUUUAGUUUAGCUAUUGCUCUAAUAUUUGUUCCCUUCUUCUUGACUUGGUCAAAAAGUGGGCUUUUAAAAAGAAUGAAAAAAAAAACCAAAAAAAAACAGAUAUAAGGGUAAAAGCGGGGGGGGAGUAAUGAUUUAUUUAACGAAAUGCGUGCUUCUUGCGCGUUCACUUGUGGUUUGAUUUAUAUAAUGAAACUAAUUGGCAAUCACAAUCAUCCCGAUAAGUCAAGUUUGUCGAGCUACAUAUAAAUCAGUCAUUUAUUCACCGGGAACUGCAACCAUGUGCUUGGAGUCGUUGCCUUCAUGUUCCUCAAAUCUCAAUGCUCAAGGGAAUCCGAAUAUUAAUAAUAGACAAGGGCUCUUCAAAUUUCAAUACAUAUAAAUAAAAUGGUGGAUCUGUGGGAAGAGGAAAAGUGGAGAGAGAGGCUUGGGAUGAGAGCUUGACACGGAUUUGCGGGAAAAGAUGGAAAGCGGGGGGAGAGAGAGAGAGAGAGAAGGCAGAGAUUCGUCCGGUCCAACACUUUCCUUACAAGUGCCCCGGGUAGAUAAAUACAAACAAAGCAUUAAGACAGUGAUAUUGGGCACGCCCAGUCCAAUGCUUGUACCGUUCGACUUUCCUCUUCUUUUGUUUAUUUUCCAUCAGAAAAGUCAUUUUAAAAAAAACAUAUAUUUAAGCUCUCGAUCCUACUUAGGGAUUUAACCCCUCUCACUUUGAGCCUUUUAAAUAUUAUACUAUCAAAUUGAUAAACUCAAUUUCAAGACUUAAGUGUUCAAUGAUUAUUUAUGCUAAAAAAUUAUGUUAUUAACGCAUGUUGAGGAUCAUAAAAAAUUAUCUACACGCUAUAUAUAUUUAUUUAUUUUAUACUCGAGCAUAAUGAGAAGAAUUUCUUUUUUCUCUGUUUAUGCCUUAAUUUCUCCUUCAAUUCUCAUAAAUAAAUCAAAAUGCCUUUUUUGCUUUUGAUUUUACUUUAUUAUAUAAUAUUUCUUUAUCGGUUUGAUUUAUCUAAUCUAAUAAAUUGGCAUGUGCUAAUAAUUCAAACUUACAGAACUAGAUAUAAAUUAGUAAUUCAUUGACCGCACCACUAAACAUAUAUUUAUGACCAUUGCCUUCACAUGGUGGAAGUUUCAAUGCGCAGAAAAAGUGAACUUUUAAGGAAACAUAGAUGCUACAUAAGUAGAUUAAACAAAUUUUAAGUGGAAUUGCAACUUUUCCUCUAUGUUAUUUCCUCAUGCGUGCCCCCACAAUUUCUCUCUCUCUCUCCCUUCAUAUUUUCCUUUCACCUGCUUUGUUCUUCUUUUCUUUCUUUCCUUUCUUUCCUUUCUUUUCUUUUGCAGACCACCUUCUCAUAUUUUCUUUAUAUUUAUCUCUUUUGCCGAUUAUAACCCUCUCUCCGUAUCUCCUUUGAAGAAAAACUCCAUCCUUUCCAUCCUUUCCAUUUUUGAGCUGCCUUUGGCAACUAUUGCCUGCGGAAAAAUCGCCCCCCCCCCCCCUUGCUUAAGAUGGAGAUUGCUCUCUCUUGACCUCUUUGGCCGUGAAUUACGGGCUUUGAAUGCCGAGGUUGCCCCCUUCUCAAGAUGGAGAUUGCUCUCUCUUGACCUCGUCCUGUACUUAUCGUUCAUUUUGGAUUGGACAUAAAAUUUGAAAAUCUUUUUUAGACGAAAAAAUGGAGCUGAGGUAGCAUUCAGUUUAAAGUUGAGGGUCUUUUAAGACAAAAAGAAAGUUAAGGAUAAAAUUAAAAUUGAAUAUUAAAUUUGAGGGUUUUUAGAGAACUAAGACUGUCUCUCAUUUCUGGUCCGCAUUCUGAGGUUGACGACUGGAGGUUCGGUGGUUCCAUCCUUCGGCGAUGCUCCUAGGUGUUCUUCGUGUUUUUCCUAGCGGGUUAAUGCCCUUGUCUUUUUUCAUCGGUUCCCCUUCACUUUUGCUAAUCGGCUAAGAAUGUAGGUUUUGGAUCCGAUCUUUUGUAAUAUUGUCCAUGCUCUAUAAAAUUAUUACCUUUACCAAAAAAAAAUAGAGAAAACAGAGUCGAGGAGCUUCACCUGUUUUAAUCACCCAAGAGUAGAUCCGUAAUUUUUUUUGAGCAAGAAGAGUAGAUCCGUAAUUAGACAGCAUGCAAUAUUCUUUUGGUGCCCUCGCUCGAUGGCUGGGUCCCACCGGUCCUUACUUAACUUGAGGCUACCCCUCCUCUUUGCUAAGUUUUUGUCCACUUCUUAUUUUGAAUGAGUGGCCAAGCCCACCACUCCUCUCUCCUUUAUUGAUUUCACAAUUUCUUAAUCAACCCAAAGUCAAAUUAAUAAAUCAAAAUUUUCAAUUUUUUUUCGGCUAAUGAUUUUUCUUGGUUUAGUUUAGCAAUUGCUGUAAUGUUUUGCCCUGCUUCUUAUCUUGGUCAAAAAGUGGGUUUUUUUUUUCGGAAAAAAAAAGGAGAAAUAUAAAGGGAUAAGGGAGAGAACGCACCAGGAGAGGAAGGAAAAGAAACGGAAAAGAAGAGAAAGAAAGGGACAGAAGAAGAAAAAAGAGAGAGAGAGAGAGCGCAUUGCACAUACAUGGGACCUCGCCAAUUCAGAUUUAUUUCGAUUUGCAAUGCCUGAUGAGGGUUUAAGUUUUUUGUUUGUUUAAUAGAAGUAGGUUUUGAAAUUAGAUUUGAAUUACGAAAACCGAUUUUGAAAUUAAAUUUUGUAGAAGUAAUUGUGAAGAUUUGUGGGAUUUGACGGGAGAUAGUUUGAAGUAACUUUUAGUUAAAGCAAAAUUUCUGAGUUUUGCAUGCAAAAUUUUGAAAAAUCACAAUGGUGAGCAAUUUGUUGAUACGUGAGAGUCAAUUCGCUGGAGAUUGAGUUUUCUCCAAAGAGGGUGGCCCCUGAUGGUGACUUUUGCAGGGUCCCCAAAGCUGGUACCUUUGCACGCCUGCUCUUUAAAGAUAAAAUGGUUUUUCUUACUUUAGUUCCCACUUGGACAAAAUUGCUCAACUUCAAAACAGUGCCGAGCUUUUUGGCUUUGAAAUGGAAAUGAUGGAGAAAUUUAACUGUAGAAGUAAAAUUCUUGGAAAUUAGAGUGCAAAAGGAAAAGUUAACAUUUUAAACGAACUUUUUGCUCUCUGUCCAUUCCUAACGCGUGCCCCAACACUUCUCUCCCUUCAAUUUUUUUUUUUUCUUUUCACCUCCUCUGUUCUUUUUUUAUUAUUAUUAUUUUCUUUUUGCCGACCAGUUUCUCAGUCCUUGUUGCCCAUUCUCUUCUUGUUACCACAUGGACAUUAUUACGUCAUUAUUUGACCAAAAAAAGAAAAAGAAGAAAUUACGUCAUCAUACUAAUUGUAGGUUGAUGGACAUUAUAUCGUAAAUAGUCAUCAUACUAAUUGUAGGUUGAUGGACAUUAUAUCGUAAAUACCCUUUAACGGUACCUUUUUUUUCCCCGACAAGCAACUUCGGUAGUGAAUUUGGGUUUUGCUACCUUUACAAACUGUUUGACAGUCAACUUACAGCUAUAACACUUUCAAAGUUUCGACACUUUCUCGAUGCAACAACGAAUAUCGACUUUCAAGAUAUACAUUAUAACUCAAUAAAACUACAUCAAUCGGACCUAAUCUCACCAUUGCACGUGUAUUUUUCUCCAGUCAAGUCACUUUCCCUAAUAUAUCAUGUGUUCGCGAUGUUCGCAAAACGGAGUCACAUGAAGAUUCCGUCCCCUUGAGCGUCAAAUCAUACAUACACCGUGUUUCGUUAUUAAUCAGUAAUUUUUUUUUGGGGGGAUUUGUUAAUUACUAAAUUGCUAUUUCUCACAAUUUUUUUUUUUGUUGAGACAAUUUCUCACAAAUUACAAACAAAGAAGAGAAAAUAAGCAACUGGCUACUUGCUACCACCAAAGUGAACGAUCGAAACCCAAUGUGCUCAUGCGUCAUUUUGAACUAAUUUCAAAUACUUACUCCCCCAGCCGAAAAUUUCCAUCAACAAUUUUCGGAAAAAGAAUUGGAAAACCAACAAUAACAUAUAUGAUAUAAUAUGACUACAUGCCAUUGUUCUUAAAAUCCAGCUUUACAAUGAUGACUAAUUCAGGAAAUCGCCCUUUCUGCACACUACAAUUAUUUACAGUAACACCAUAAAAUAAAAAAUGUUUUUAUCCUAUGCUUAUUAGAGUCACUUUUCAUGUCUCAACUAUUUUCAAUCAAGCAAACCUAUUGAAAAUAUUCCCACUUUAAAGGUCAUGCUGUCAUUAAUAUGUUAUCUCAAUCUAUAAUUACUAGCGCAUAACAUUAUAAUUCACAAUAAUUAAAAUGAUUGUCAAAUAAUUGCAAAUUCAUACUAGUUAUGACCAACUCAACUUAUUUAUCGAGGAUCUUAAAAUUAAUCUCUUUUCUUUACAGAAAAUGGUAGAAAAACAAGAAGACAAUUUUUCAUAAUCAAUCUCAUCCAAUAAUGAUUUAUCGAAAUAUAGAAUCGAUUGCCCUUCUGUUGAGAAGCUUCAAUGUGAAUUUUAUGGUAUACCUACUUGGCCCAAAAAGACAAAAAAGAAAAGAAAAGAAGAGCGAAUAAAUACCUACUUUUCUAAAUUAUGUUGGAUAAAUAAAUUAAUUCAGAUCUAUUCACUAUGAGCCCAACCGAACCCGCGGUCCAGGUCACACGAAAGCGCGUGGAAUCUUCAUCCUGCCGACGUAAUCGGACAACGGUGCCAGCCGGCAGACCAGCCCAGCUGUACUACCGUGGAAUUACACGUGUCGGCAUCAGGAGCCUCCACCUCGUCGUCUCUGUAAUGCGACGAGCGGAUCGCAUGCAACAAGAGAGAGAGAGAGAGGGGGGAUGGGCGGUGGUGAUGAUGGGACCCACCUGAUACAAAGGCUCGUGAUUAUCGCCCGCUUCUUGUCCACCUUUGAAAAGUCAACUUGCUCUUCUUUCUUUUUUAUUUUUUUUAACGCGCCUUUUUUUGGGUCGGAAUUUCUUAAACACGCAAGAAUACUAAAGAAUCUUGUUGAUUAACAUGUUUUUAAAAUAUAUAAUGACUAAUGGAAAGAGCAACGAUAGAGACUGAAAACUGGGGCUGACCAAUCAUAACGAGCGUAUUCAGCGAAAAGUUAUUAUAUGAAUACAUAUAUAUAUAUAUAUAUAUAUAUAUAUAUAUAUAUAUUAAGUUUGAAUCUGAAUCUAAAAAUCAGGAAUUUUAAGUAGGUCUUACAAGAAAUUUAGCGGUGCAGAAACUAUUCAGUACAUUUAAGAAGUUCAUUGAUUGAUACAUCAUAUAUGAUACUUAUUAGUUGCUUCAAUAAUCCUUUUUCCAAGUAGGAUGGUUCGAUUUCAUAGCCAAUUGCGUAAAAUAUUUGCUAAAACACUCGGUUAAUGAGGUUCCAUAUAUACGAAAGUGAUGAAAAAGAAACGCCAAAGCAAUUGGAGCGUUAUGGGGAGUAAAAAAUCGGCUGUGUUUAUUUCAAUUUGUACCAUUUAAUAUGAAUAACUGAAAAUAUUUUUAGAGGAAAGCUUUUCUAAAAAAAUUGGACAUGCAUGGAGUCUCGAUUUACUAUCCAAUGGACCUUAGCUCUUCGGCUUUUGAAAUUUAUUGGAUCGAUUCCUUAUUUAUAUUUUGACCGAUGGGUUUGCUUCAUGCCAUGGGUUUUCUAAUGCAAAUAGCUAAACAUGCAAAAUAACAGCCUAGAGGAAUUAAGAUAUUUCUUCUAAUUAUGCAGAGGAAUAGCAACAGUAAAAAAAUCACAAUUUUUUGUAUUUUCAAAGGGUUAUAAAGGUAUUAUGACGGCCUACGUAUUCAUGAAAAAAUUAAUUUAAAACUGGCUGAGUAAUGACUCGCUUAUUUAAAUAAUUCUAAUAUUAAAACGACGAUAUUGUUAUUUAUGGGUUCUGGAACCCUUUCCCCCAUUUCCCUAUUAAUUUUCUUCAAUCCAUACACCCUCAGAAUUGGAAAAAUCUUCCAGUUUGAACCUCACCGAAAUUCUUUUUUUAUAAAAAAAAAAGACCAAGUUAGUGACUUGAAUUUAGGAGAAUAUUAUUUAAACAGAAUUGAGAUGAACCUUGUAGGUGUUUAAGGUGUAGAUAUUUUUCUUACAAGGUGGCGCUAAUGCUUUGCGUGCAUCUCCCAAGUCCAGCAUACUAAUACGUCGAAAAAAAGUCAACCAUUGGAAUGAGCAUUGUCCUUAAUUGCGUUAAUUUUAUGCUUUCGCGUCAUUUGCUCUGUCCCCCGCAAAGAAGAAAACAAAUGUCAAUUUUGGAAUUACUUGAAUUGGGUAUGGGAACAAAAAUGCACAUUUCUUGUUAAACUCUGAUUAUUGCAAUUGUGCUUGUAUCUAUUCUAAUUACCUCUUUGGAGAGUUAGUGUUACUUUAUGUAACAUGUUAAUUGAAGAGUGUAUAAGAGUAUUAGCAGUAUAUGGUUAUUGAUGUUGAGAUUUAUUAGCUUCGAAUACAAGCAAUACGUGUUACGUGAUAACUACUUAUAAGAUUAUUAUUGGAUUCCAGCCUUGUUGGUCUAAGAGAGUCGAUGUAAGCUUAAUAUAAACUGAGCCUAAUAUAAACUGAACCACUAUAACAUCUGGGUGGGACAACUUUUGUCUCUUAACUUAAAUUUAUGUUUGGUUUAUAGAAGCAUAAUGUCUACAAUAUCAUCAAAUUGUUGUUGCAUCUCUCAAUCUGCUCCGGCAUCUAUCAAAACGUAACUAGAGUUAUUUAACGAAAGGAUUAUUAAGUUUUGUGAUUCGACCUUUUCACCUUGUUUUAAGUUACGUUAUUAGCCUCAAAAUUAUUUAGUUAUUGCGAUGGGCUAUUUUUUAUUAAUAGGAAAGAGUAUUAUAACAUGAAUUCAGUUUUCUGCUUUUCAUUUUUGGCUUCUAUUUUUUUUUAAUGUCCUUAUUGCUAUGGAAUUUGGAUUCCUAACACGGGACACUUUCUGGUGCGUGCUUUGAACGAAUAUGAGUUCUAAUUAAUAAAUGUCCGCAGGACACUCCGGUGCGUGCUUGAGCUAAUGUCCUUUUGAUUGCGGUAUGUUCGAUGUGUUUCUACAGGAGGAAAGAAGAUGCCGCUUGAAGAUGCCUUGAUGCGAAGCGUACAUACAGACAAAAGUAAGUAAAAAACUGUAUUAUACAGGUUGGCAAAUUGACAUUAGAAUAAUGUAAAUAGGAGUGCCUUUCUUACGGCUCAAUUCGACAGGGAUUAACGUAAACGAAGUUCCUGUCUAAUUUGUCGGUUGCUGAAGGUUUAUAUAUAUUUGUUAGGGCUAGUUGAAAUAGCUGCUAUUGAAUUGUUUUAGCGAUAUCUAGAGACGGUGGCAAUUUUAAGCGGGAAAAUUGCUAACAUAAGUAUCUUACCCACACUUUUUAGCAUCUAGUCAUUUUGUAAAACAUUUAAGCCAAUUUUCUUCUAUUCAAUAAAAUUUCUUCACGGUUAAAUAUAUAUAUUGUAUCACAUCUGAAGAAAUAUUCGACCACUAUUAUGAAGAAACCUUUCUAAUCAGUGAAAUCUUAUUGAUGUUUUUGUAGAGAUUUCAACCCCUUGAUUAAAAUAAUGUUAUGCAACUUUCUAUUAAAAAAGAAAAAGGAAAGAAAACUGACGAGAAAUAUUCACAUGCUCCAGGUGCUAAUGUCCAGGAGUCAAUGACAAAAACAUAUUACCCAAACGCAAGAUGACAAAACCAUAGCAGUCAGAUUGGAUUUCGUUCAUAGAUAUCUAUAGCACGCUUAAUAUUCAAAUAAGGAAAGUUUAUUCUCAAACUUCAAUCUGAUUUUUUUCGAAAAUCAACACUUAUAAACUAAUACAAAAAAAAAAAGGCCAAUAAUUGAUGGCAAGCUUUAGUCAAGGCGUCUUUUGUCUUUCUUAUAAAGAGAAGACUGAUGACAUUUGCUUUACGGGCAUAUAAAUCCCAUCUAGGUCACAUCUUCCACCUAAAACACUAAUAAAAAAUCUCCCCAAAAACAUGAGCAAAACUUCUGCCGACUUUUUACAAUAAAAGUCGCAUAAAACCAAAGUUUACCGGCCAUCUAUCUAACAAGAAUCCAAUAGAAUCAUUUGUGGUUGUUGUCAUCUGAAAUUGGACCUGCUACUGAAAAAUUGGGAUUUUUUUAAUAAAUAUUUGCAGCACGCUUAAUAUUCAAAUACAAAAAGUUUAUUAUUUUCAAUCUUCAAUCUGAUUGUUUUUAAUCAACAGUUAUAAAUUAAUACAAAAAAAAAAAGGCCAAGAUUAGAUGGCAAGCAUUAGUCAAGGCAUCUUCUUUCUUUAUUAUAAAGAGAAGACGUCACUGAUGACGUAUGAUUCACGAGCAUAUUAAUCCCAUCCCUAUCAUAUGUUCCACCAAAAACACCGUUGAAAAAUCUCCCCCCAAAAAUAAGAGCAAUAAUUUCACCAACUUCUGAUAAUAAAAGUCGCAUGAAACCAAAGUAACCGGCCAUCUAUCUAGCAGGAAUCCAAUUAGAAUCAUUUGUGGUUGUUGUCAUCUGAAAUGGACCAUCCACCGAAUGACUUGGAUCUUUUUAAUAAACAUCUAUAGCACACUUAAUAUUCAAAUAAGGUUUAUUAUUUACAAUCUUGAAUCUGAUUUUUUUGAAAAAUCAUCACUUAUAAAUUAAUACAAAAAAAGAAGAAGCCAAGAAUAGAUGGCAAGCAUUAGUUAAGGUGUCAUAUGAUUUACAGGCAUAUGAAUCCCAUCCCCGUCACAUCUUCCACCAAAGACACCCUUAAAAAAUCUCCUGCUAAAAUAAGAGCAAAAAAAUUUCACGGACUUCUCAUAAUAAAAGUCGCAUGAAAUUAAAGUUGACCAGCUAUUAUCUAGUUGGAACCCAAUUAAUAAUAAUAAUAAUAAUAAUAAUAAUAAUAAUAAUACUAAAUGAUAGUUUCAACGACUUAAUAGUUGUUGUCUUCUGAGAUUGGACUGUCCAUCGAAUAAUUUGCACCAUCUUCACCAAAAACUUGGUAGUCAUGUUGCAUGGUUUUGUUGGCUGCAUCAGGUUUGGUGGAUGGUUUGAUUGUCUUAUACUAAAUUCUACGAGUGGGAAUCCAAUUACAAUAUUAUGUACGCACUCUUUGUGUCCUCGCAGUCAAAUGGGUUAUUUGACAAAAGAAAAAUAGUUUGUAGCAAUAUCUCAUGUUUGGAAAUAAUAACAUUAGUCGAACGUGAAGUAUCUUUAUCAUUAGUUACUAGCAAUAUCCAGAUUGGGCUAUAUGUCGGACUUAACCUGUUCUCCGUAUCAUGAGAAAACCUUUGUGAUUUCGAAACAGGCCUCCAAGGGCUCAACUGGGCUGGGCUGGGCCGGGCCGGAUUUUACGACUAUAUUACCUUGUCAAACAACGCCCGUAAGUGGUCCCUUCGGGCACAUGUAGGAGUGGUGGAUUAAUUAUUGAAAUGUAAUUGGGAAAAAAACAAUGCGAUAUCAUCCUCAUUCACUUUAAAUUAGAAAAGUAUGUUAAGGAGCUAUUUGAAUCGGCGUCUUACAAUCAGCUGGUUAAGUGUCGAGAAGAUGGACUAGCUCGAGCUCGAUCGAGCCAUUUGCCAUCACCAUGCAAGCUUCAAACACUCGGCCGGAUUACUCAACCAAGUCAUUGGUCAUUACCACCUGAAAUCCACUCCUUUUUGCGCGGCAUUUCUUUUUUAACUUGGGAUGAUUGAAUAUCAAACUCAAUUGUAUAUGAUCAUUCUCUAGUCAAGCGGCGAACGUCAAUGUUUGAUCCGGCCAUUUCUCGUAUGUGCAAUGCAAACGAAUUCGGCUUGCUGCAGUACUUCAAGUGCUUGGCUCUGAAUCUGAAGAGCGUGGAGAUUGCCUAGUCCCUAGCUCGUUCUUUUGAUGACGGCGGAUGUUAGCUCACCUUGUCAAUCCUGCUUUUAUCAAAUGAUGCACUCUUGCUGGAGAAGAUGGUCAUUAAUGUCAAGAGUAAUGGAAGACGCCAAUUGAAAUCUUUUGAGUCUUUGCCAUAGCUGGCUCUACCCUACCGAGUUGCUUUUGAAAAAGCUAGGUUGUCUUUAACUAUUGUUUAAAGCGAGUUCUUGCUAGCAGCGUCAAAGAGUUAAAACAACUUAAGAAGAACCCCAGUGAGACUGUCCUGGGUGAGGAAUGUACUGAAUCCUAGUUCCUAUUAAGUCUAUUAGUCCUUCACAUGGGGCUCCUCUGCUCAGAUCACAAAGAUAAGAAGUCAAAUGAGCACCAUUUUGAAGUUUCUACCAAAAUAAAAGUUAUAUUGUAUCCUGCAAUGAUCCUCGAAAGCUAGAGAAUAUCAUUACAAAAGAAGCCUGCGCCAAUGACAUUAAACAUUUCAAAAACUGGAAGGAGAGCCUCCGAAUUUAGUGUUAUUGUUGCUGGAGUGAGUCUUGGCUUCCAGUAGUGUGAAUUUUUGGACUUCUAUUGAAAAAAUGACCAGGGCUUGCUCAUGUUGAAAAAUUGAGUAGAGCUGGUCAAUUGACGAAUCAAAUCAAUAAAUUGAGUGUUUUUUCCCCUCAAAUUGAGCAACGCUAAUCAAUUUGGAAUUUUGAAGAGGGCCUAGUCUAUACAUGAACUAUGCUGUCUCUCUCCCUUCUUUGCAAUCAUUAACAAACAUAUAUCGUUUGCCUUGAGAUUGGUUUUUUGCUUGAUAUUAGGAGGCAUAUAAUCCAUCUAACAUUGUUUAUUUUGAUUUUGGUUGAUAUUAGGUUUGAUGCCAUUAAAAAUCCCAAGCUGUUGCCUCAUGUCACAUUUAUUCCAACUAUCCUUAAAUUGAACUUGCAUAUAAAAAUACUGAGAAAUAGCUUUAAAUGAUAUGAACAAACAAGAGGAUUAGGUUAUUGUAAGCCGCUAAUGAAAGCGGUAAUCUAAUAGAUUAUCAGUACAAAGGCAAAGGGCCUAUCAUCAAGUACUUGCAUUUUAUCAAGGUUUAGUUUAUGAGAUACAACUUCAAUUUGGACACAAAAGAUUUAAGAGUUGAUGUAUCAUAAUGACCUAUAAGGAUAUUCAAUGUGCUGAACAUUCAAUAUCCAAUGCUAAUUAUACACGAAAAGAUAUAUUCUAUUAAUUGUGAUUGUGCAAAAUGAGCCUCAUUUAAUAUACUUUAUCCAAUUCGCCAUAUAGUAGCAGAAGUAAAUUUUAUAAGCUCUUUUUUUUUUUUUUUUGGUUAGUCCUACUCUAUUCCUACUCUACACUCACUCUCAUCACUCUCAGACUUUUGCCCUGCCUCUUGCAGGGUGUGGGAGUCAAAACCCACUCCUGAAACUUACGCGUCUCCACCCCAUCCCCCCUGAGAAGGUGGGGAUUUGAACCCCUCACAUUCCCCUUUCAUGUUGAAAUGAUGGCCACUGGAGCGAAUCCCAGUGGUUAAUUUUAUAAGCUCUAAACGGCCAUAAAUAGUGGGUUUACCCGAAGGUGUUUGGUGUGAUAAACAAGUUGUCUUCUAGACAUUUCCUAUCAAUAGUAAAGCUUCUCCCAAUUUUCUCUAGUAAUAUUUGUUUUACUAGCCUUCUCUUGUUUUUUCGAUCCUCAAUAACUUUUAAUUGCAAUUUCUCCAAGACGAGCUUAUGUAGAAUGGCUCAUGGAAUUAAAAAUUUACAUGAGGUUUGCACCGACAGUGGACCUCAUAACAAUCAUUUUUUGUUGGUAAUAUUAUUAUCUCAUCUUAUUAUUAAUGUUUGACAUCAGUGUUUCUGAACUUGCAUCAAGUAAAAAAAUAUAUUAUUUUCUGGGAAGAGAGGGGGGAGAAUACAUUGAAAACGAGAAUAUUUGGAAGGGCAAUAAAUAAAGGAGGAUUUAAUUUUAGAGUAAACUCAGCUAAAGUUCACAAAAAGCUAUCAUUAUGACAGAUAAUAAACAUAAGAAAUAUCUCGUGUGCACAUGUUACAUUCAAACGUUCUCUUUCCUCGAGAUUGGCAAUAAUUCCAAAAGAAAGAACAAUACAAUUAAACAAUUUUAGAUAGGGUACGAAAUCCACUAACGAUAUUGCAAAUAUAAUCUCAUGACCUUAAACCCACCAUUUAUUUGAGGAUUCCAAAUCUCUAAGAUUGGAAUAUAGCCUAUGUUCUUUAUUGCCACCUUAAAACCAUAUAUUUUGCUAGUCAUGUUCCACAUAGGAAUGUAUUUUGUACAUCAGAUCGGAUGCAUCACUUAACAAUGACUUGUGGAGGAAUGAGUCAAUCUCAGGCGAGAGAUUUAAAUAUGCAAAUANNNNNNNNNNNNNNNNNNNNNNNNNNNNNNNNNNNNNNNNNNNNNNNNNNNNNNNNNNNNNNNNNNNNNNNNNNNNNNNNNNNNNNNNNNNNNNNNNNNNAAAUAAUGAACAUAUACAGAUGAAGCAAAGCUUGGCACUAUCAAGCAGGUCUCAAAGCUUACAGCAAUACCAUGAAGGCGGUUACCACCGCAUAGAAGCCAUGACUCGCCAUCUUUCGGUCAAUUCUAUCCAAAUCAAUAGAUAAAUUGUUACCUUUUACUCCACUUUUUCCUUCAACAAAUGCCCGCCUAGCAGAAGAGGCACAUGGCAGGUAUAGGUUAGGACUUCUCGAAGAAGGGUGGAGUCAAAGAGCUUCAGUCAGAAAGCCCACAUGCAUUGCUUCUCACACUGAUGUCUGCAGCUUCAAGUAUUAGAGGCCCACCCACAGCAGCAACUCAAGUAUAACCAUCACAAACUCUUGAACAAACAGUCAUUCUGAAUCAGAGAUUCUUCUUCUUACUCGUCCAGUAUGCAGAUCAGGGCUUUCUUUCUUGCAGCUAAAACAGAAGCCACACCUCUACUUGCUGUUGCCAAAAAAAAGUCAACUUGAUUUCAGUCCAGUGUUCCUUAGAUAUAUGGCCAUAACUAACGUGAUGUUCAGAUACCUUUGUUGGGUAAAUGUAAAAGUACAACACAUGAAUUAUGCUAAAACACAGGCGGGAGGCAAACCUUGUGUGCCUAAAGAGGCUAUGGCAUGCAUAUAACUAUAAAUGCUCUACAGUAUCUUGCUAUACUAGAUACCAUGAUAGUAUCUAUCAUCAUGAACUUGUAGAUAGUGGUUCUCAGUCCGUAACUCAAGACUGUUAUGCACCAAUUAUAAGAGAGAGAUUAUUCUUUCUGUAUUUGUCUGGCAAUUAUAGAUUCGUCCUUUUCACACUUUGUCCUCUCAAUUGAUUUAAGGGGAAACCUAAUACUCCAGCAUUUUACUUCUUCGACAGAAAAAUAUUCUUCUUUGGAACAUGCUUUUGCACUUCUUCAAUCUGCAGGAACAAACAUGAGGUGGUCUAUUAAAGAGGCACAAUGUACCUAUGCCAAUCACAUUUAAACUUAAGAGUAGGUUCUCAGCGGAAAUGUAGUAAGGAGCAUGGACAGGAUUAAUUCAGUUCCACUACCCAGCCAACGAGACAAACUGUUACUGACACUGGCAAGUUUAUCAAACAUUGAUACACAAAGGAAAGAGUAGGGCAACAAUAAGUUUCCAGACAUCCACAACUGCAAAUGGACAUGUUAAGAAGCUCAAAGAAAAAAAUCUUCAGAACUAUACAAUUGAUGGCAUCACAAUGAAUUGAUCCUUAGCCCGAUAGUAUGACAGCAUCAAAAUGUUCUUACCACUAACUGACAAGGGAGGAACUACAGCAUGGGGAAUGCUGCAAAGCUUCUCAUUCUCCGUCUCCACAACUGCACUCACCCCUAUUAAAAAAUGGAUAAUUAUCUUUCCAAUUGGCCAAAAAAAAAAAAAAAAAAGAAGAAGAAGAAGAAGAAGAAGGUAAAUAUAACAAGAGAUGUUUUAGUAGACCAGACAUAAGUUUUCAAAAAACCUUCCACAAACCCAUAUUGAAGCUGUUGAAUAAAAUCCUAAGUUUGAGAAAAGAAAUAUUUUAGUAGACCAGACUAAUAUAACUACUUAACUGCAAACAAAGCAUUAGACAGAACAUGAAAGGUAUGAACAAUAAAAUAUUGUCUGUUCAGAAUCAAGAUUGAGAAGUUAGAUGAACUUUUUUCAGUUGAAAGAUGCAUACUCUAUUCACUUGGGCAUCCUCCUCCCAAUUGAGACACACCCCAGCUGCCGCAUGGGACUUAAGCUUCUUAACAGUUUUCCAUUCUGCUUAAUAUUUAUACCGAGUUAAAAAAAAAUAUACCACAGUACGUAUAACUGCUGCAAGCACUAGCAUGUAACAAGCAGCACGAUGCAUAUCCACGGUUCCAUAAAGACGGCUAGAUUGGUAAGAUAACAUUCAUAUGUAAAAAUAAGAUCUUCAAAGCAAAACAUAAUCCAUGAAGUGGAUAAUGAUUAGUAAAUUGGUAAGACAUCACAAAGAAACUUUAUGGCAGCAGCAUCAGCCAAGUUCUGAGCAAUUGUACCCACAACCAAACAGCUAGCUUAAUGAAUAACUGGUAAUCUACAAACUUUUCCACCCACAAGCAUAUUUAAGGCACAUACAAAUUCUAUCAUUUAGGAGUCUUCCGAACUAUUACCUUCCUAAUAUGACCGAACUGGACAUGUGUCGCUUUAAAUAAUAGAAAGAAACUAAUAAUUUGAUGAAAAUGAGCGUGCCAUGGAUGACUGCUUCUAUAUGCUGUCUCAGUCAUCUUUGGAUAGGAAUGAACGAUUCAAUCUAAUUAGUUAAAUGGGUAUUUAUAAGAUAUCAUGAUAUCAUCUAAACCGAGCACUUUGUAAGUUUACGGCUAUUCUUCUUAAAAAUUAUAUGACAUUGACGAAGAUAUGCAUAUUGCAUGUAUUGUACAAGUAAUAAAUGCUGCGCCGGUCAUGUUUGGAUUGGAAUGAACCAUUCACUUUAAUUAGUUAAAUGGGCUAUUCAUCUCUUGUCGUUUUUAGACCUAUUUAACAAAGGGGGCAUGAUCGAAAAGAGUGUUCUAAUAAGAUCUGUUAAGGCUUUUGUGCUUAGAUUGACCUAACUAGCAGUCCACUGUUCAUUUGACAUUGGCAGACAGGACCUGUAAACAUGGAUUGCCACCUAUAUUAGCAGCUAAAUGUGUGUUGAGCAAGCUUGCUGUUUGCAAUGCAUCAUGCGACUUUUGAGCAAUUCAGAAUCUUUCCCACAAAGAUUAGAGAAGACACAUUCUGAAGAUAAGGGAUUCGUGCAGUGAAACUGUGCCAUCUUCUAGUCCCAAGACAACUACUUUGCCAUCAGGAUGCCAGCAUAAUGAUGUUAUACAUUUACCUGGAGUACAUUUGAAUAGUUAGAUAAUCUAGUAUAAUGACAUACAAUGGAAUGUGCCACGAAAAGUGAUUUCAUAGACUACCACAACAACUUGACAACAAGAACACAGAGAGAGAGAGAGAGAGAGGGGAGAGAGAGAGACAGACAGAGAGGAUGAAUAAUUUGUUCACCAUAAAACUAAUAGACUAAGAGGAAAGACAGAGAACACACAUAAACCGAGAAAAUGAUAAUCAAAAUUUGGGAAGUAAGGCAAACAUCAUAACAGUACACAUUAUAUCUGACAGGGAUAUUGGUAGCUUGACAUGGGAUUUCUUUGGGCUAGUAGAUCAUCUAAAGCUAGGGAAUCUACAUCUUUUUGGCAGCCUUCAAUCCAUUAUCUCAAUCCAGGAACAAAUCUUAUUGUUCAGCUUUGGAACCUUGAGGUGGAGCGUAACCAUGAAAGCAUACGUCAAGCAAGGAUCACAGGUGUACAAGUAUCUACAACUUAUCUAAACAGAAACCACUCAAGGAUUGGUUCAUGAAGCACUCAACAACAUGUUUUUCAUAUCAAGAAGGCAACAUGAUGCAUGCGGCAUUCAGAUGUUUCUGGAGAAAAUAUACCUCCUCUCUAAAUUUUUCCAGUGAGAAUAGAUUACAAAAACUACCAAGGCUAGGCAUCUGUCGCGACCUCUUUUUUUUUUUUCAGGCGCCCGCGAUCGGGUACGGGCGCCUAAGGGAGGCUAAUGGCUCGACUGAAUUUAUUAAAGCCCGGACUCUCCCAAGUCCACCAAUUCACGACUUAAUAGUCCAAGUUUUUAACCUGUAAGUCAAUUUUAAAACGGAGUCGCCACUAAUCAGUUUGGGGUGGGUUGAUUAGAAACCCAAGCGAAAUAUCGGGAGAAAUACUCGCUCCUGCGUAACCAGAGAAAUUAGGAUCGGGGACUUGAUUACACUAGUUAAUCACUAAUGCCCUUUCGGUACCUAAUCUUGUUUAAACCCUAAGGCUUUUUGGAUUUUUGAGGGAUUUUUCAUGCAUUUUUUUUAGAGGAAAAACAUUUUUUUUUAGUCUUUUUUCUAAUUUUUUGACAUAAAAAGCAUUUUUUGGAUUUUUGAUCUUUUUCUGAAAAUAUAAAUCAUUUUUUGGCUUUUUCUGAAUUUUUUGGUUUUUUUGGGAAAAUAUGGACAUUUUCGAUUUUUUUGAUUUUUUAGAAAAUAAAUUAUUUUUUUAUUAAAAUAUUAUAUUAUUUUAUAUUAAAAUAAUAAAAACGAACCGGGUCGGAUCCAGGGUUGGGUCCGACCCGGGCUGUUCGCCCAGAACGCAAACGGGCCUGCAACACAGGCCCGACUCAUUUUUUUUCUUUUUUAAGCGUAAAAGCCCAAAACCUAUUUUUUUUGGCCCACUUCACAAAAAUUCUAGCCCAACACAACCCAGCCCACGCGUGCAGGCCUGACCCGGGGAAACCCUACCCCUACGCCAACCCGGAUCCGCCCGACUUCGACCCGGUUCACAGCCGCGACCCGGAUCAUGGAACCCUACCCGGCCGCGACCCGCUUCUGACCCAACUCGCAGCCGCCCCUCGAAACCCUACCCGGACAGUGGCCCGGAUCCGACCAGGCAUCCCUUUCGUGAGGUAGGUUGCCAGGAGUCAUAGGGCUCGACGAUUUGCGGCGCCGGAGAGGGGUUGUCGAGACAUCGCCGGAGGACUCAACGGCCUCGACAUGACGAUCAGCGACUAGGCUUUCAGGGGAAAAGAGGCGACGACGAUGGCGGCCGCUGGUUGGUAGGAGAAAGCGGCGGCAACAACGAUGGACGAUUGCUGGGUUUUCAGGGGAGGGCAGAGGGACAGCGACCAGAGCAGAGCCAACACGGCGGUUACCUGCUCGCAACAAGGGCACGACACGGCGGCCGCGGUGGUGACAAGGUGAGCAACAGCGACGGCGGCCCCUUAGAUCUCAGACGGCGUCGGGAUGGUGUUUGGGGCGGCGUUGGAGCUGAAUCGACGGCGGAUCUGAGCCUCGACCGUCUCUUGCACUUGAUUUCUCCUCUCUCUGCAAGCUCGCUUGCCUGCGGCCUCCCCCGAUGUCUCUCGGUGGGAGGCCGUUUAAGCUCACGACCUGCCUCCGGCGGGCCUCAGAUCUUCGGCCGCGCGUCCUCGGACCCCCCUGAAGUCUCUCAGUGGGGAACCCGAAGUCUGCGGCCUUAGAUCCGACUCCCUCUCUCUCUCUGUUCGUCUCUCCGGCAGAAGCUCUCUUUCUCCGGCCGCGAGCCUUCGGAUCUAGGCUUGCUCGACCUCGGCUCCCCUUCUGAAGUCUCUCAGCAGGAAGCUCGAAGCUUUGCAGCCUUCGAUCACUCUCGGCCUCUUGGCUUGCUCUUUGAUUUCCCCCUUGAAGUCUCUCAAAGGGAAGAUCUCGGAGCUCGCUGUGUGUCCUUCGACGGAGGUGGUGCCUCGCUAUUUAUAGGCGAGGGGGCGGCCGGUCGACGGGGCUUCGACCGCUGGUCUUCGCAUGCCGAACGGACGCCCGCGGCCGAACCGGUGUCUCGUCUCAGCAUUAAAGGCGCGCAUUGAAGGCGCAUGCGCGUUGUCCUCUCCUCCGGCGGCCUACCUCCAUUCCUCUUUACCGUAGGUUGCCCUUGAGCGCGUCGCCGGCCGCCGCGCGUGAUGCACAGAGGCACACAGAAGAAGAAGGAAGGAGAAGGAAGAAGGAGGGGGAAGGGUUAGGUUGUGCGGGCCGGGCCGAGAAAAAAAGAAAGAAAAUGAGCCUAGGGGCCCACGCGAAAGGGAAAAAGGGGGCUGGGCCUAUUUUUUUGUUUUCUUUUGUUUUAUUGAUUUUUGUGUGUUUUGUUUGUUAUUUAUUAUUUAUUAUCUAGAAAAAGGAAAAAUAAAAGAAAUUAAGGCGUUAAUUAAUAACCUAAUCAAAAUUUAGGUGUCAACAGCUGCCCCUCUUUGAAGGUGAGUUCGCAGAGGUUGCAUUCAAAGAUAAACCUGAUACCUAAAUUUUGUCUAUACAUAUGCAAUAGAUUAUAUGAUAUUUAGGACCUAGUGUCCUAUGCAGAAAAUGAGCAAUAUAACAUUGCAUAUACUAAGACAGAUAAGAAGAUACCUGUAGUUACUUACCGGGAGUGAGUGAGAUAGGGUGUGAACCCCGAGUUUUGGCAAGUAUCAAGGCGUCAUCUUACCUGUUGCAUGAGGAGAUUGCUUCUCUAGGACCCGAACCAUUCUUCGGUCGCCUAUUGGAGCAAUAAGUGGUUUGUCUAGGACCCGAACAUUUCUUCGGUCGCCUUGACGGGGAAUUGCUUUUCCAGGACCCGAACCUUUCUUCGGUCGCCUGUUAGAGCAAUAAGUUGUUUGUCUAGGACCCGAACCUUUCUUCGGUCGCCUUGACGGGGAAUUGCCUUCCCAGGACCCGAACAUUUCUUCGGUCGCCUGUUAGAGCAAUAAGUUGGUUUGUCUAGGACCCGAACCUUUCUUCGGUCGCCUUGACGGGGAAUUGCUUUUCCAGGACCCGAACCUUUCUUCAGUCGCCUGUUAGAGCAAUAAGUUGUUUGUCUAGGACACGAACCUUUCUUCGGUCGCCUUGACGGGGAAUUGCUUUUCCAGGACCCGAACCUUUCUUCGGUCGCUGUAGAGCAAUAANNNNNNNNNNNNNNNNNNNNNNNNNNNNNNNNNNNNNNNNNNNNNNNNNNNNNNNNNNNNNNNNNNNNNNNNNNNNNNNNNNNNNNNNNNNNNNNNNNNNNNNNNNNNNNNNNNNNNNNNNNNNNNNNNNNNNNNNNNNNNNNNNNNNNNNNNNNNNNNNNNNNNNNNNNNNNNNNNNNNNNNNNNNNNNNNNNNNNNNNNNNNNNNNNNNNNNNNNNNNNNNNNNNNNNNNNGGAGAUAGUACUUGGACGAUCACAAGUACAAACUCUUAGGGGAUACUUGGAUGAUCACAAGUAUCGAAGGGGUACCUGGACGAUCACAGGUACAAACUCUUUGGGGAUACCUGGAUGAUCACAAGUAUCGAAGGGGUACUGGACGAUCACAGGUACAAACUCUUGGGGGAUACUUGGAUGAUCACAAGUAUCGAAGGGGUACCUGGACGAUCAUAGGUACAAACUCUUUGGGGAUACCUGGAUGAUCACAAGUAUCGAAGGGGUACCUGGACGAUCACAUGUACAAACUCUUGGGGGAUACUUGGAUGAUCACAAGUAUCGAAGGGGUACCUGGACGAUCACAGGUACAAACUCUUUGGGGAUACCUGGAUGAUCACAAGUAUCGAAGGGGUACCUGGACGAUCACAGGUACAAACUCUUGGGGAUACUUGGAUGAUCACAAGCAUCGAAGGGGUACCUGGACGAUCACAGGUACAAACUCUUUGGGGAUACUUGGAUGAUCACAAGCAUCGAAGGGGUACCUGGACGAUCACAAGUACAAACUCUUGGGGAUACUUGGAUGAUCACAAGCAUCGAAGGGGUACCUGGACGAUCAUAGGUACAAACUCUUGGGGAUACUUGGAUGAUCACAAGCAUUGAAGGGGUACCUGGACGAUCACAGGUACAAACUCUUUGGGGAUACUUGGAUGAUCACAAGCAUCGAAGGGGUACCUGGACGAUCACAGGUACAAACUCUUGGGGAUACUUGGAUGAUCACAAGCAUCGAAGGGGUACCUGGACGAUCACAGGUACAAACUCUUGGGGAUACUUGGAUGAUCACAAGCAUCGAAAGGGUACCUGGACGAUCACAGGUACAAACUCUUUGUACAUGGAAUAUCGAGGACAUACCUUGGAUAUUCAUGUGGAAAUAUCGAUGAUGGGUCUUGCAUAUACGUGAAAGUCUCUCACCUGCUGGUAGUGGGAAUAUCGAGGACGUACCUUGGAUAUUCAUGAAGGUCUCUCAACUCCUGGCAAUUGGGAAUAUCGAGGACGUACCUUGGAUAUUCAUGAAGGUCUCUCACCUCCUGGCAAUUGGGAAUAUCGAGGGCGUACCUGAGAUAUUCAUGAAGUUUUCUCACCUUCUGGUAACAUAAACUUGAAUGUAGCACGAGGCUUACCUGGAUGGCCACAUGCACUUAAAAGGGGUGGAACACCUGGGUAGGCGCAGGCACACAAAGCAGUGGAAUGCUUGAACAGCUGCUAUUAUUUGGAGACAACUUGGGCAAGUUGAGUGUCAUGAAAAGAAAGUACCUGGACAACGGUGGGUACUUGACGAUAUGAGGAUACCUAGACAACAGUAGGUAUUCCAAGAGAUACUUGGUCAGUCGCAAGUAUCAAUACUCUGGAGACAACUCGAAUAGGUCGAGUGUCAGGAAAAGGGAGUAUCCGAACGGUGGCCGGUACUCAAAGACAAAGGAUACCUAGACAGCAGUAGGCAUUCAACGAUAAAAGGAUACUUGGUCAGUCACAAGUAUCAAUACUCUGGGGACAACUCGAAUAGGUCGAGUGUCAGGAAAGAGGAGUAUCCGGACGAUGGCCAGUACUCAAAGACAAUGGGAUGCUAAGACAGUUGCAAGCAUCGAAACUCAAGGGACAAUUCGAAUAGGUCGAGUGUCAAGAAGAGAGUACCUAGACAGUGGUAGGUAUUCAACGAUAAAGGGAUACUUGGUCAGUCACAAGUAUCAAUACUCUGAGGACAACUCGGACAGGUCGAGUGUCAUGAAGAGGGAGUACCCGGCAAGUGGUGAGUACUCAAAGACAAUGGGAUACUGAGACAAUUUGUAAGCACCCAAACUCAAGGGACGACUCGAAUAGGUCGAGUGUCAAGAAGAGAGUACCUGGACAGUGAUAGGUACUUUAAGACAAAUGGGGACAGGGAUAUGCUUACCUGGCAAUAUCUUUGAUCUCUAAGAGUAUAUCUGCUAUUUGUACAAUAUGCACACAUGAUUGUACAUGCUGAAAAUUCAUGAGUUCAAAUGGGAUUAAUGCUUGAUAAUUUUGUCAGCUUUGCAUCAUCUGAUUUCCACUGGGGAAGAUUUUGAAAGACAACCUUCAUUUAGAAUGUAGAUGUCUUGAGCAUGCUCGAUGAGGGACUUUCAGUCUGAAAGGACUUUCCACUCUCUCUCAUGGAAAAGGCUAUCCUGACCAUUGAUGCAGGAUUUAUAAGGACCACACUUCUCACUGUCAUCAUGUCAGCAGGGGUUUGAGUAUUCUCGUAAGUGGUACGACUUUACCAAUGUGAGACGUCUUUGUUGAAAUUGUGAUGAAGACUUAAUCAAUGGCUCAUCAAAUGGGACCGUCGAGGUCAAGGCUCAUGAACGAAGUGCCGCACGAUCAUCUCCGGGUUUGCAAGUCGAGAAUCCUGCGAAAAGAGAUAGAGUAAUCUUGCUCGUACUUCUUCGAGCAAUGCUUAUGCACAUAUGAAAUCCUACAUUAAUUGAAGUGCCCCUAGUCUGAAGAGACUUUUACAAUGGGAUGCAAUGUAGACUUGAUUCAUGUGUAAAAAGGUGACAGCUGGUGAUUGUCUUGGCAUUUGUCACCAGUCUUUCUUCUUACUAUCAAAUGGAGGUUCUAUGGACCACAACAGCAACAUUUUCUUGGUUGCAUUUUUGACUGGGGGACAUUGGCCUUGCUUUUACCAGGCACACUGCUUUUUUCAUGCCCCUAUUUUUAUUCCAGUUUUUCAUUUAUGAGCAUUGACCUUGCUUUUACCAGGUACACUGCUUUUUUUAUGCCCAUGUUUUUUCAUUCUUGUUGCUUGAGAGUUGAUCUUGACAAGUUCAAGCAAACGCCUUUGUUAGACUAUUGAGUCUUCAUUUUUUGCUGGCACUUCUGAUUAUGCUGCUCAAAUGGCAGUAGCUUCUGCUUUGCCUUCAUGUGAGGGUGAAAUUACAGACUCAAUUGGGUUGUACAAUGAAUACAAGUGCAUAGAGAAAGAAUUGCUCUUCGUCAUUCUAGGGCACUUAAAUUAACGUGAGUGUUCAUAUGUAAUAAGAACACCCGAAGAUUGAUGCAAGUGCGAGCAAGAAAAUUUCUAUCUCUCUUCUCACCUUGUGAUGCUGCUUUGCCUCCGAUCUGCCCCAGUGUGGGGUGGUUCUUGAUGGGGGUAUGGGAGAAACUUCACCAGUGUAAGGAGCUCAAAGGGGUGAGCAAUGAAAUGCCUCUCACUGUUUUGGUUAUCGUACCAUUCGCGAGAGAACUCUUUACCCUGUAGUCAUGGAAUCUUCUGCACUCAUCUCACAAGUGUAUAGAUGGGGGGAUUGUGUGUAGGAUAUAGCUUGCCUGUCGUCAUUCUGACGCGCCUCAUCCAGCAUGCUCAAUCAAUCUUGUAUUCUUCACUUAGCUGUCUAUUCUAAUAAUCCUCAGUGAAAUUAGUGACUUAGACAGACAAAAUCAUCAUGCAGAAUUCAUCUGGAAGUGACAUGCAACAUUUUGAAUAUGAUGGAGUUUGAACUCUUCAAAACAAGUGAAUGGUUUUGACUCAAAAAAGACCCUAUUGACAACUUUAGGGGCUAACAUAGUGGUGUUUCCAAGUAUGUUAGAUUUUGAACAUCAAAAGGGUUAUUUACAAAUGGGUGUCGAUGGUUGUCCCUAUUGAUUAGGGAUAUGACACAUAAAUGAUCAGUCGGGGUUGGGGAUCUGAUCGGGCAUCUCUGCUUUUGCCCCUGCAGAAGAGAAGAUGUACAAGUAGAUCAAUUAGUCUGGCCAAAAUCAAAUGUGGGUUGAGGCCUGAAGAUUUUCUGUCUUUUGCUUUGGCGAUUACUCAGGACGCCUUUUCGCUUAGGGGAGUUUGUCAUGCCUCUCAUUGAUUUAUUAUCUUUGUUUUUGACAGUCAGGUAACCUGCAACAAACAAGACAUGCUUCUCAUUGAUUCGUUAUCCUUGCUUUUGACAGUAAGGUGAUCCUGCAACAAACAAGAGGAAAUGUGUUAGUCAUGAACUCUUUCAAGAGUUGAAUAACUGGAAGCGAUACAACUUUACCCUUCACUGGUUUGCAGAUGAUUGGAAGGACCUGAAGUGAGAUGGGGACACGAAGUCCUAUGUCCCUUGCUUUGUUAGGUCACCUGUUCUCUCGUAAUUUGCAAGUGCAAGAGAAGCAAAAUUUUUUUUAUUAUUUUUUUACCAAGCGGCUAACUGCCGCGUCGGGGAUUCAAACCCCCGACUUCGGACCUUUUUGCUUCUUCCCGGAUACCACUCGGCUAGAGGCGCCGACGGUGUCCGUAGGCCGCUGCAUUUUUUAUUUAACCGGACCGGCUCCAGGACGACACGUCCUUUUAUACCAAGUUAGGUAAAUCGAUAUGGGUCACUUGAUUUGUCCAAAUUAACCUUUAAGCUUGUUUCUUGAAUCCUAUACUUCCUGUCAAUAGGAGAAAACAUGUCAAAAGUGAGUUCAGACACUGGGAGUAUUGGAAACGAUACCAAAUUACUCUUCUCCAAAGUUUGUAUUUGCUGACUCCUAGGGAUAUUUGAAUGUCGAUGACAGCCUUUUUGUCUUGGCACAAUUUGACAUUUCUUUCGAUUGGCCUUCCUCACUUAUGGCCAUGUAUGUAUGAUUGAUGGUUGUCGAUUUAUCUUCAACGCCUUCCUUCUGUGGAAUUUUUCUUCUGUCUUUGACUAUAUGACCAUUAACAGCAUUGAGCAAAGUCAUGUACUUCAAGCUUCUAUGGAAUCUGAGAUAAAAAAUCUCAAGCUUUCUGAUGGCAAUUACUCCUUGGAAGAAUAUGCGUCUUGAGUGAAGUUUCUAGAUUCCAAAGUCAUUGUCCAGGGUGUGGGGCUAUAGAUCGCUUUGACUGUCUAGAUUUUCUCCCUGUUGACAGUAGUCACUUUAAAGGAAGAGAAGCAAUUCCUUCUUUGUGCUUCUUGGCUCGUUGAAGCUGGAAGUCCCGCCAAUGAACUUGCGACAUCCUGCCAUGAGCUAUCAUGCUAUGCAUGCUUCAAGUUUGAUAAUAUGUCUGUGCCUAUUACGUCCCAUCCUUCGUCUCCUGUAGAUGGAAGAGAGAGGAUGUCAUUUUCGACAUUAUGUUCAGGGAAUAGGACUUACCAUUUUGAAACGUGAUGCUCCUUUCUGUUUGCCCCUGCUUUCUUAAAAAGGUGUUCUCGAGUUUGGUCUGUUCACACGAUGUGGCAGUUUCAACUGCCUUCUGUCACACUAAAUCAAAAGGGGAUGCUAUGAAGUGAGAAAGUUAAAGAGACAAACAUGCUCAAAUUCAUCAUCUUAUUUUGACAAAAGCUUUUGGUGAUGAAAUAUUUUUCAUUUUCAAAAUAUUUUUUGGGGAGAAAAAGCAUGAGGAAGCCCGGCCCUCAAUAUUUCUCCUUGGAUGAUGUUUUUUUUCAUGGUUGGAUAACAUCACUGGGCUGGUUUGGGGUACCGCCUCAUGCUCUCAAAAUAUUUUCAACUUUAUUUAAUAUGUGGAUUUACAUUUUGGAAGAGUGAUUUCAAAAGUUAGUUCCUCAAGCGGAACUGAUGUUGAAAAUAAAACAAGCCAGACUUAAGAAAAAUGUACAAGUUCCCACGUAGGGGAGUACGCAAAGAAAUUAAAAAGGGUUCUACUUGAGCGAGCCUGCACCCAUUUCCCCUAACGGUCCUUCGUUGAUGGCGCCCAUGAAAAGGUCUCCAAACAUGGUGGUCGUGUCAUCUGGCCCUUCUUUUUUUUGUUGUUGCUAAGGGUGGAACUUUAUUACCUGAAUAAUACUCGGCCUCUACCAGCCCUUGAUAGAUGUCAACGGUAUGUGUUUCAACAUUUAUGCUCUGACUAUCCUCAGAACUGAAUACCGUGUUUACUUUGUCGGUGUGAUUAGGGAGCGGAUUGCUCUGGAAUGAGAAAGCUUUAGUGUCUAACAGGUUUUGGAUUCGACUUUUGAGAGCGAAGCACUCAUCAGUCGAGUGCCCCACUUCUCCCCUGUGAUAGUCGCAUUUUUUGGAUGGAUCAUAGCUGGAGAAGCUUUCUGUGUUUGGUCGCUUUGGCUCAGUUGAGAGGAGGUUCUUAUUCUGGAGGACUACCAAAACCUGUGAUGGAGAUCCGGGAAGUGGAGUAAAUUGUCUCCUGCUGCUGUAACGCUGGGAUGGCUGACGUUUGGUGAUCUGUUGUUGUCCUGCCCUUGUCUGAAUUGUUGAAGGAUGAUUACAGGUCGCAUUGACAUUUACUAGGGGUUCUUUGUCUUUCUUCAUGCUGAGUCUACCCGUGGGUGCAGAUUCAGUGAACCAACCAUCCCUCAACCCUAUCUUGAUUUGCUCUUCUACUGGAAGGAGUUGAUCGAUCGUGGUUACCAUUCGAUUGCGGUACUCAUAAGGGAGGGUUUUGAUAAACAUUUUUCUCAGUUCGAAAUCGGUUGGUUCGGGACUAAUUUGGGUGGCUAGAUUUCUCCGCCCAAUGGCAUACUCUUUGAAUGAUUCAUACUUUUUCUUCUCGGUACGCUCAAGAUCCUCGCGAGAAGAGGUAAUAUCCAUUAUGAACUCAUACUGCUUGAGGAAUGCCUCACUCACUUCGCUCCAUGUUUCGAGGAGGCUUAUGUUCUUUGUGAUGUACCACCUCAGGGCAGGACCUACUAGACUUGAUUGGAACAACUGGAUCAUCAAGGGUGCAGUAUUGGCGUGUUGGGCCAUCCAAACUAAGUACAUUUGCAAAUGAGUCAUUGGGCAAGUUGUGCCGUCAUACUUUUCAAAUUCAGGUAUUUUGAAUUUUUCUAGCAUUGUGACUUUGGAAUAAAUGGAGAGGUCCGUCGAAGUAGGAUCUUUGAGGCAUUGCAGUUGUUUCAGUCUCUCCUCAAGCUUUUCGAGACGUUUGUCAUGCUCAGCUUUAGACAAAUUGUCUGGCUUAGCUUUCUCAAUCGCGGUUUGGUGUGGAUCAUUCUCCAAUUCGGGUAUGUUAUCGUUGGUAUCUCCACCUUGAUCACCCAUGGUAGAUGAUUGUGGCAAGAAUACCUCGAUUGAGGCCGGGGCAGGAGUAAGUUUGCUUUGGAUGGAGUCUAUCUGCUUUGAGAGUUGUUGAAGCAUAUUAAAGACUUGCUUCAUUUUGCUUUCUACAACCGCAAUACGGCUUGGUACAUUUUCUUCGGCCAUUCUUGCUCUUGCUUUUGAACGAGUCUGGAUCGGCGAACGUUGACGUUCCGUGAUUACCUAGUCAUGAGUAAACAAGCGUGUGUGAAUACAAGGCGUAAAUAGGGAGUCAGUCCAUGAUGACAACCUAAUCCUACUAUUUUUGUUUAUUCAUGAAAAAGUAGAGGAUUUCCUAAACAUGGAUUGAAAAAGGGCACGCUACAUGCUAACAUGAGCUAAAAAGAUAUUCAAUUUGAAAGGCGAAGAAAGCAUGAGUUGCAACAAAUUUUGAAAAAGGUUUCUAUCCCUUCUUCUUUUUUUUUUUUUUUUUUUUUUAGGCAAAUGAAAAUUCUUGCUGAAAAGAAUUUUGUAACAUGCUUGAGAAUAAAAACAUCAACUGAAAGUAAUUUUUUGCAAAUUUUUUUAAAAACUUAAAAAAAAAACUUUAUGACAAUUACUUUCAAACUUAGAUGGCCGCGAUAUUAAAUCCUACACUAAUCAUGGACUACUCAAUAUAUACAGGAAGGUAAGUAAAUUGCAAAGUACACGAAAUAAGAACUUACUUCACACGAGAAAAUUGAUGGCAAUCACAUAGACAUGCGCAUGAUAUGUGCGGCUCGAUUUCUAACUGAGAAGGAUUGGUGAGAUUAAAAGGAUAUCCGCUCGUCGCAGUCUCGCGUUAGCAGCAUACCCUCCUAACCUUGGCUAAGAAAUUCGGGGAAAAGAAAGGCAACCUCUACAUCGCAGUCUCGCGUUCGAGGUCGUAUCUUUCUUAACACCAUCCUAGAAAUCUUAUGGCGGCCCAGGUCCGGCGGCCGGGUUGUGUGUGCCAUGUGUAGUGCUAAAACAUUUAAGGAUGCACAAUAGUUUAUAAUCACAAAACAUUUUAUUUUAACAGAAUAAAAAAAAUUUUAAGCUAUUACCCUGCACAAAAGAAAAAACCCAAGUCAGUAAAGUAUUUAAACAAAGAUAAAAUGGCCUAAGUCCUCAAAGUCCCUAGUGGAGUCGCCAAGCUGUCGCGACCUCUUUUUUUUUUUCAGGCGACCGCGAUCGGGUACGGGCGCCUAAGGGAGGCUAAUGGCUCGGCUGAAUUUAUUAAAGCCCGGACUCUCCCAAAUCCACCAAUUCACGACUUAAUAGUCCAAGUUUUUAACCUGUAAGUCAAUUUUAAAACAGAGUCGCCACUAAUCAGUUUGUGGUGGGUUGAUUAGAAACCCAAGCGAAAUAUCGGGAGAAAUACUCGCUCCUGCGUAACCAGAGAAAUUAGGAUCGGGGACUUGAUUACACUAGUUAAUCACUAAUGCCCUUUCAGUACCUUAAUCUUGUUUAAACCCUAAGGCUUUUUGGAUUUUUGAGGGAUUUUUCAUGCAUUUUUUUUAGAGGAAAAACAUUUUUUUUUAGUCUUUUUUCUAAUUUUUUGACAUAAAAAGCAUUUUUUGGAUUUUUGAUCUUUUUCUGAAAAUAUAAAUCAUUUUUUGGCUUUUUCUGAAUUUUUUGGUUUUUUUGGGAAAAUAUGGACAUUUUCGAUUUUUUUGAUUUUUUAGAAAAUAAAUUAUUUUUUUUUAUUAAAAUAUUAUAUUAUUUUAUAUUAAAAUAAUAAAAACGAACCGGGUCGGAUCCAGGGUUGGGUCCGACCCGGGCUGUUCGCCCAGAACGCAAACGGGCCUGCAACGCAGGCCCGACUCAUUUUUUUUCUUUUUUAAGCGUAAAAGCCCAAAACCUAUUUUUUUGGCCCACUUCACAAAAAUUCUAGCCCAACACAACCCAGCCCACGCGUGCAGGCCUGACCCGGGGAAACCCUACCCCUACGCCAACCCGGAUCCGCCCGACUUCGACCCGGUUCACAGCCGCGACCCGGAUCAUGGAACCCUACCCGGCCGCGACCCGCUUCUGACCCAACUCGCAGCCGCCCCUCGAAACCCUACCCGGACAGUGGCCCGGAUCCGACCCGGCAUCCCUUUCGCGAGGUAGGUUGCCCGGAGUCCUAGGGCUCGACGAUUUGCGGCGCCGGAGAGGGGUUGUCGAGACAUCGCCGGAGGACUCAACGGUCGCGACAUGACGAUCAGCGACUAGGCUUUCAGGGGAAAAGAGGCGACGACGAUGGCGGCCGCUGGUUCGUCGGAGAAAGCGGCGGCAACAACGAUGGACGACUGCUGGGUUUUCAGGGGAGGGCAGAGCGACAGCGACCCGAGCAGAGCCAACACGGCGGUUACCUGCUCGCAACAAGGGCACGGCACGGCGGCCGCGGUGGUGACAAGGUGAGCAACAGCGACGGCGGCCCCUUAGAUCUCAGACGGCGUCGGGAUGGUGUUUGGGGCGGCGUUGGAGCUGAAUCGACGGCGGAUCUGAGCCUCGACCGUCUCUUGCACUUGAUUUCUCCUCUCUCUGCAAGCUCGCUUGCCCGCGGCCUCCCCCGAUGUCUCUCGGUGGGAGGCCGUUUAAGCUCACGACCUGCCUCCGGCGGGCCUCAGAUCUUCGGCCGCGCGUCCUCGGACCCCCCUGAAGUCUCUCAGUGGGGAACCCGAAGUCUGCGGCCUUAGAUCCGACUCCCUCUCUCUCUCUGUUCGUCUCUCCGGCAGAAGCUCUCUUUCUCCGGCCGCGAGCCUUCGGAUCUAGGCUUGCUCGACCUCGGCUCCCCUUCUGAAGUCUCUCAGUAGGAAGCUCGAAGCUUUGCAGCCUUCGAUCACUCUCAGCCUCUUGGCUUGCUCUUUGAUUUCCCCCUUGAAGUCUCUCAAAGGGAAGAUCUCGGAGCUCGCUGUGUGUCCUUCGACGGAGGUGGUGCCUCGCUAUUUAUAGGCGAGGGGGCGGCCGGUCGACGGGGCUUCGACCGCCGGUCUUCGCAUGCCGAACGGACGCCCGCGGCCGAACCGGUGUCUCGUCUCAGCAUUAAAGGCGCGCAUUGAAGGCACAUGCGCGUCGUCCUCUCCUCCGGUGGCCUACCUCCAUUCCUCUUUACCGUAGGUUGCCCUUGAGCGCGUCGCCGGCCGCCGCGCGUGAUGCACAGAGGCACAGAGAAGAAGAAGGAAGGAGAAGGAAGAAGGAGGGGGAAGGGUUAGGUUGUGCGGGCCGGGCCGAGAAAAAAAGAAAGAAAAUGAGCCUAGGGGCCCACGCGAAAGGAAAAAAGGGGGCUGGGCCUAUUUUUUUGUUUUCUUUUGUUUUUAUUGAUUUUUUUUGUUGUUUUUGUUAUUUAUUAUUUAUUAUCUAGAAAAAGGAAAAAUAAAAGAAAUUAAGGCUUAAUUAAUAACCUAAUCAAAAUUUAGGUGUCAACAGCAUCUGAUCCCAAGCUCUUACAAAUUUGAAUUGCCAAAGAUAAAGCCGUACAAGAACUUAACAUAAUUGGAUGCAGCUCCGCCUACCCUCCUAGUCUUUUAGCUUUCUCCAACUCCUCCCUCCAUGUAUACAUGUAUGCAGCAUAGCUUGAGAUAUAUCCUAUUCACAAGUAAUUUAAAAUUCCCAACAACAAACUUGAUUAAUCAAUAUGAUGUGACGAAAUGCCCCUUUGUAAUCAGAAGAAGAUACAUUAAUUUCAAGUAAUACAAAUUGUGCGAAAUUUUCCAGACUAGACUCUACAUUUUAACAAUACAGAAUGUGAGAAAUCCUUGUAGGGAAUGCUCAAUCUGUACAAGAAGAGGAAAAAGAGGAGCCAGAAGUAAUAUUACCCUCAAUUAGUAGAAGAAGAGGAAGAGCGGAGCCAAAAGUAAUAUUACAUCGUGAGAGUCACUAACAGAAAUUGAAGGAAAACUAUAUAGAUGCCCAAUGGCAUUGAGAUCAUAUUUUGCAGGGAUUAAACCUGCCAACUCCAAAGUGGGCAUCAAGCAUUUCUACAUUGGACAUAACCAGUCUAUCUAGCAUAAACGACAUCCCCUCCAAUUCUAGUUCUUUAUCUUCGUGAACACUUUGACUGGUGUACCGAAAAGGGCAAAAAGAUGGCAAUACAGGAGCAGGGUACACUUCUAGUUGGUCUAAACGAUUGUCAGUUAUGUUAUGGAAAUCUCCAAAGGCACCAAUCUUGUCUAGAAGUUAAUAGAAAUCUAUCGCGCCUGUAAAUUAAAAUCCCUUCAUUCAACUAGUAUCAGUUUGAGAUUCUUUAUUUGCAACUAUGUCAUCUCCAAAUUUUCCCUCCCAUUACCAUCAUUCACUCUUCAUUUUUGUGUAAAACAACGACUCUUAGUUUGUUCUCAUUUAGAAUUCCAAGCACUUAACCUCUAUAUUCACCAACUCUUCAUCAAAUGCAAUUUGAACUGGAUUGGCAAUUGAAGUGAUUUAUUUGGGGAAAAGGACCGUAGCACAUUUAACGAAAAGCAAAUGGGGAAUAAGGCCAACGUGCAUGCAGAGUCAGAGACUUGCAAUUGGGCAAAGAAAACGGUACACCUUGUACCUCUGCCGCAAGUGAUAAAACCUAAGCACAUUCAACAUUUGAAAGGCAAAAGAAUAAGACAGUUUACUCUUCCUUCCAAAUACAGUUUAAAACCCCAGCAAUUAUAUGCUUUGAGAACACUUUUGGUUCCCACCUAUGAGACAAAUUGAGUGACUAAAGCUUUUGAGUGUUGAAAUAGUAGAACUUAUAUACUAUUUCUAGUCAACAAUUGCUUUUUCGGUCUUUUAAAAAACAGGACACAACUACUUUUCAUUAAUAAUUUACUAUGAUCAUUGGAAUGAUGGUUAUGCACUACUGAGCAGGAAAAAGAAUGACCCUUAACCAGCUGCCUUUUGUUUGGUUCAUCAGUAGUUAUUCUGAAGGCACGAUGUGUAUUUGCACCAGUCAUGAUCAGGCAGAGUGGUGAAACGAUGUAAACCAGAUUCCUCGUGCUGAAGUUUGGAAUGAACUUCCUUAACUCGAGGAAGAGGGAACAAAGCCCUGAGUGCAGGUUCACCAACGAAGAGCAUCCAUAAAAGGAGCAGCGGUACUGCGAAAUGGCCGGCCAUCUCGCACAACCUCUUAGUCGCAUCGACUGAGAGAGGUCCUCGACACGGCGGUCGACAGCAAAGCGAAGCCACGAACUGAGCUCAGGCGCGCAACGGUCGAGAAAAUCGGCGUCGAUGUGGAACUUCCUCACCUUGGGCGACGCCUGGAGGAUCAAGAUGCCGUCCACGGUCGGGGAGGCGUUCCGCCAGGGGAAGGAGAAGACGAGGUCCGGGGGCGGCGGUCCAGACGGAUCGCCACCGCUUCGACAAAAAAGCACGUGCGGACAAUGCGUGCGAGCUCGAGAGGAGGAGGAGGUUGGCGAUCGCUUCUUCUUCGCCAUGUAGGGAUCGACGAUCGAACGGAGGAACCGGAAGGAGAGCCUUCCUCCGAUUUGAGGGUUCAUUUCACUCGCACUUAAGUUUCUGGCUUCCCGUACAGAGACACGUGUCGCUCGACGGAGUGGCAACCACUUUCCCGCGCAUUUUGAUACAUCUACGAGCCCAUGAUGAUGGGCCUCCCACGUCUUGAAUUGCCGAGUACCGAACCUUAAUUUCUUUAAUCCAAGCUUGUCCGACAUCUGAAAAAAUCAUCAUUCAUAUAAUAACUUGUAUAGUCAAUAUCUAACAUUUUGUCUGUUACCCGAGACAAAAAAACUGCUAACCAAAUCCAAUGCAAAACUUGGAGAUUUGAUCUUUUUGAAUAUUGAUUUUUUUUUUAUUUGGGUGGAAUAGGUUGAUUUGUCCUUCAUUAUUGAAAAAAUUAGAGGUAUUCGUUACAUUUCGAAAGUAGAAAACAAAUCAAAUCAAGCUGAAAAUGGCAUCUGCUUGGCUUCGGAAGAUACCAUGAAAAGAGGUCCAUACCAUAAAGGAAGAUUCUACUAGGCAAAAUUCCGAAUAUUGUUUGGUGCAGGUAAAGUACGAAUAGCAUUGGUAAAUAUCAAAACCAGUUGGCAACUAAAUUUUGACCAAUAACUUAUUCGGUUAGUAGCAUUUUGGUAAGUUACCAAAUUUUUUUAAAAAAUAUCAACAGUUAUUAGAUUUAUAUAUAUGAAUUCCCACAUCUAAGCACGUGAACAAAUUGUUGUGAAGAGAGGCUCUCAUAACCAAGGCAAAGCAUCACAGAUGAGAUCAACAUUGGCUCAAUUCACUAUCUUCCGAGCACCCGCCAGUUAUUUUAUCUGCUCAUUUUCUUUUGAUAACUGAGUAUUCAUUCUCAACGUUAGCUUGUUGGCAGUAAUAAUACAAUAGGAAAGCAGAGUUUCACUUACUACAUUGAGUCCAAGGAGUGGAAUUGGUAGUAUAAAUAAGUCUUAACUUCUCCUAGGCUCAAAGUGCUAUUAACAGGUAAAAAGAGUUUGAUAUGAUUCAUUGAUACAAAGAUUGACUCUUACAAUUAUGAGGGAUACAUGCACAAAAUGUGAGAAACUUUCCAGCCUAUAUCAAAUCUCUCCUUGCAAGGAAUGCUCAACCAAUACAAGAAGAGUAGCUGGAAGUAAUAUUACACCGUGAGAGUCACAAACAGAAAUCGAAGGAAAACUAUAUAGAUGCAUGACAACGUUGAGAUGAUAUUGCAAGGGUUAAACCUACUGACUCCAUGUGAGCAUCUAGCAUUUCUGCAUCUGACAUAGCUAAUCUAUCUAACAUAAAUGACAUCCCCUCCAAUUCAAGUUCUUUAUCUUCG